GAGCCAACAAAAUUGCACCCAAUAAGAUACAUCACUUCCACAGACUUCAGUUGACUGAUUGAAUGUGGUUCCAAAUGUAUUGAAAUCCGUGUCAGUGACAGAUCCAAAUGCGAAAUAGCAUUGCUCAAAUUGUAUGGCGGAAAAGAGCCAGUGAGUUCUCUGUUGCUCGAUAAAUCGAGCGAUUGAAGGUUUGAUCGGCGAAAGAAAUUAUCAGGGAGUUCCCCUUGCAAUCCACAAUACCAGAGUCGGAGAGAUGACAAAGAAGAAGACAAGUUCAUCAAGGAACUGGGUACCACCAAAGACAUGUUCACUACACCCAAGUAGAGUUCUCUCAGCUGGGUAAGGUUGUGAGCAAGCUUGUUGAAAGAAAUCGGUUCCAGCAUCAGCUCCUCAGAGUUGGAAGAGAGAUCAAGUGACACCAAUCUGGAUAAAUGGGAGAUUUCUGGGGGAACUUGGCCUGCAAAAUUUGAUGAAUUUAGAUUUAAAUGCGUCAAAUGCAAGAACUGACCAAACGAAGAUGAAAUGACAGAGCGAUUGAAGUCAUUGUGAGAGAGAUCGAGCUUUUGAAGAUGAUGAAGGGAGAAGAGAGUGCUGUUAGAAUGGAGGGUGCCAUAAAGCAUGCUGCAACCAAGGUCUAGGCCAAUUACAUGGCCAGUUUUCAUGUUGCAAGUCACGCCAUCCCAAGAGCAGCAAUCUGUACCCUCUUUCCACAGCACUUUCUUGGGUGGAUAACAUGAAAAUCCAUAUGGAGAAGAAGACAUGGAAAAGGAAUUUUUGAAUUGGAGCAAAGCCAGGCUCUGGUCACCGGGGCAUAAUUGUACUGAAGAGGAGAAAUUGGAAGAAGAAUGAGCAGGUUGGGAGUGGGAAUGGAAGAAAAGGAGGCAGAGAAAUUGAGCGAGCAAAAAUGAAGGUCCCAUCAUUCCCUAAAAGUGCUCUUCUUAGAGAUUAAAACGUGGACAGUUAACUUAGAUUGAUGGUAGACUUCUAUUAGAAUGUAGUCUAUAUAUAGAGAUCGACUUCUCCGGAAUGCAUAAUUUCCCCUUUCCUCGUUGUUUCUAAAAUUAUUUAAAAAAGAAAUCAUAUAAAUAUAUUAUCAAAUUUCUGAUGGGAGAACAAAAGUCUAGCCAGAAUAAAAUUGAAAGCAGAUUCCUUCACUGCUGCAAAACAGACUAAAAACGAAAUGGAAUUUGAAAUGUUGCAGUAUCCACUAAAACCUCAGUUCAGCUAAUUCGGAAACCAAUAGCAAAAAUAGACUGGCCAACAAAGUUUGCCAUUGUUAUUCGCAAACUACAAUAUUUGGAUUAAAGAAAAAAAUAAUAAUAAAUUCAUAAAUAGCAAUUGAAAAUUCAUAAAAUUAAGUCCCUUAUUUUGUUGUUGAAUAGUGAAAUGGAUAUUCAUUUUGUCGCGUAAAAUAUAACACGUCUAUAUUAGAUAUGCUAAGUCAUUAUUCUAAAUUUAAAUUAUAUUAUAUACAUGAUUUUUUGUAUCUCAAUAAAAACAUGCAAUGAACAUAAGGUUUUAUACCAAUAAAUGACUAGGAAUAACCUUUAUUUAUAUAAUAAAUUUUGAUAUCCGAUAAUAACUAACAAGAAAAUAAUAAUUGACUCGUGCACAUAAGCAUAAGAUUGAGCUGAGCAAAAUUUUUUUUUUCUAAUUGCCUCUACUACUUGUGAGACAAUGCAUGUUCUUUCUGAACCUUUAACUAUAACAAUAAUUUUUUUUUGCCCUUAAAUUGUAAUCUAAUUGCCUCUCCUACGCGCAAGGCAAUACAUGUACUUUAUGAACUUUUUAUCUCUAACAAUAAUUUUUUUUUUGCCUUUAAAUUGAAAAUGUAAUUUUUUAAAUACUUCAAAUUAAUUUUUAAACAAUCACAAAAUCCUAACAACUCUUUUAUUUUAAAUUUUUUUUUAACAGUUUUAACUCUUUAAUUUCCUAACUGCUCUUUUAUUUUUUAAAUUAUUAUAACAACUCUUUAAUUUUCUAAUUUAUUUCUUGACUAACUAGUACAUGCUAAUAGCCUAUAUAUACCAUGCACUUUUACAAUCAAGGUAUACUGAAAACACCAUAGUAUUUUUUUUGUGUUUGCAAAGCUUGAUGGUAUUUUCUUUCGAUCUUGGUCUAGUUAUUUAUGUAACCCUUGUUUUAGAGGAGAAAUUUGUUGAAUCAUGAAGAAUGACCUAGAGAAAAAAAAUUUUAAGGACAUUCUUGGUAUACGUCUCAGAUUUUAUUUUGUUUUUGUUUUUCAUUGGAUUUUCUUACAAAAGGUGGAAGAUUUGGUUUUUUUUUUUUUAUUUGAGAAUUGAGAUUUUUGAAUUUAUACUUAACCAGAAAAAAAUGUUUGGCCACCCAGAUGAUUGUAAGAUGGAAGACUUGUCAGUAUGGCUUUCCCUGGUCUUCUCUCCAAAUACAGCGCAACUUGACUUGAUAUUCAUGGAUAGUAAAGUUAUGUAGGUCCAGUAUUUGAUUAGCAUAGACUGGAACAGUAAGUUUUUGACUGGAAAAAUGGUUAUGUAGGUCCAGUAUUUAAUUCCAUCAAUAUUGACUGGACCAUAAUGAACUAGGAACCCCUUGCACACGGUGUUUAUUAAAAGAUUAAUCAAAAUGGUAAAACUAGACAAAGCUAUACAUAUUUCCACCUUGGACUUGUCUGAAUUGGGCACCACUAGACUUGGUGAAAAUGUCAAUUUUGAAAAUUAGUACUGCCGUGUUUCCAACGCUCAGUCUUGUGUGGAAAUAUUUGCAAGUAAACCUUCAAUUCCAUAUUCAGCAAGAACCCUCAAACUCCAAUCUCCAUUUUUUGUCAGUUUUCUAGUAACUGUUCAAUAAAGCUGUUGCCAGAACGUGUUGACUGGUUUACAACUUGUGUUAAUGACUUAAGGGACCUCUCCUCGUGUGGAAAUAUACGCUGAAAGGAUUUAUGAAGUGAUGGUGAUAUCAUGGAACUGUACAUAUUUCCUACCUUACUUCAUCUAGGCAGCCAACUGGAGCAAAUGCCUGUGUGCAGAAGAAGCAAGCAACAACUGCAAGUUCUUGCAGUGCUAAAGUGGUAGUACGUAUUUGAUCAUGGAGGGCAGGGUAUUGUUGAACGCAGAAGUCUUCCCAAUUCCCAUUCCAUAAAUAGAUCGAAUGGUGAAAUGUAAUUGGUAAUUCCUGCUUGGAUAAGAUAAAAUUUUAGGGCUACAUUGGAUCAGCAUAUAAACCCUCUUCGAUCGUGCAGUUAAUCAUAACAUAUUUUCAUGCAGUAAUGGGGUUGCUGAUAUAUACUCUCGAUCCCUUGUUUAUGGAGGUAUUUUUUUGCUUCGGUUCUAAUAUAAACAGAUGUCAUCAGACUUGCUACAAAAAUGUCAAAUUUAGAAAUUAAUAUCACCGUUGUUACAACGCUCACUCUUAUGCGAAAAUAUUUGCAAGUGAACCUUCAAUUCAAUAUUCAACACCAAAUGAAGAUCGAUUCUCCCUUGUUGAUGCUGAAAGAGAGAGACCUCUCCUCGUGUGGAAAUAUUACUUAGUCUUGCUGUACAGCUGCGGAUUGAAGAUAACUUUGUUUAUCAAUUUUUUUUUAAAAUUUGCUUCAUUUAUAGUUUUUUUUUUUUGUUUAUUUGAAUUAAAGUCAUCUUAUCCAACCUAGUAAAGUCUAUAAGACAAGUUACAUAUUUCUUUUGUCUUUUAAAACAUGAUUAUGGUAGUUGAACAUUAUUUUUUACAUAAAAUAAAAUAGUCUAGCCCCAUGGCAAAGUGCAUGCUCCAAUUAUAGUUAACAUAUACUUAAAGGACUUGACUUUUCAAUGUAUAAAUGAAUAAUAAAAUGUUAAGCCCUUUUAACCUUGGUCCUCGAGACUUUUUAGGCCUUUUUAAAAAAAAAUUAAUUUUAUUUUUUUCUUUCAAUUUCAGAGAUACUAGAUUUCAUAAUUUGUUUUGAUUUAUUUUUUAUAAAGUUAUUCCGAUCUUAUAACCCAGGUUAUGAUGAGUUUUGUAAGUUAGUCGUGUUGACUCAUGUUGUUUUUUUUAUUUUUUAAUUAUUUUUUUAACUUCAUCAUUUAAAAUUGGGUUGAUUGAGAAUUUAUUUUUAUAUUUUUUUUAUUUGAUUUCUAUAGGAUUAUCAUGGUCUCAUGACUUAGAUUGUGAAUUUUGCAAGUUAGCUAUGUUAAUUUAGAUCUUUUUUCCUUUUUAAAUUAAAUAAUUUAUUUUUCAAUUUCAUCAUUCAAUAUUGGCUAUUAAACCUUUAUAAUCUAGCACAAGAAUAUUCAAUUACAUUUUUACUACCCUUAAACACCUUGAAAUCAUAUAAUUGUUAUCUUGGGGAAGACUUGGUGGUGUUAUAUUUAUUUUUCUUUUUAGAAAUGAGAUUUUUGAAUUUAUACUUAACCAGAAAUAAAUGUAUGGCUACGUUCCGUAUUUGACUUAGCAUAGACUGGAAGAUUGAUCCAAAUGCUUGUUUCCCAUCUAUCAUGCAUCAAUUGAUGCUAAUCUAAUUGAAACACUAAGUUUAUGACUGGAAAAAAUGGUUAUUCAAUCCAUCUGAUUUGGUGGGUCAAUCUAGUGUUAUUAGGGUUUUUUUAAUUUUUUUUCUAUUUAAAUUAUUAUUAUAAUCAUUUUGGUGAAUGGAUACAUAAAAAAAUAAAAUUAAAUAUUUUAAAAAAAAAUUAUAUUUACAUUUUUUUAUUUUUAAGAGUUUUGACUUGCAACAAAUUAACCUCUUAUCAUUUGUUUUUGCCUAUGUUAUGAUUUAAAAAAAACAAUUAAGAUAUUUUUCAUUAAUAAUUCAUGUGGAUUAUUAUUAAAAAACAAAUACUUAAAUGAUUCAUGAUUUGGAACAAUUUAAACUUAAAGAAAUUAAUUAAACUUCAUAAAAAAAAUUAAUCUUUUAAUAAUUUUUCUUCAAACUCAUCCUAGAUUUUCUAACUGUGUACUUGAGGCUCUCAAAUAUUUUGUUUUUGAAUUAUCAUUAACUUGCUAUCGAAAAGUUCCUUUGAUAAAUAGUCCUUUGCAAAUGAACGAGUGUCUAAUUUACCGCCCACAUUUAAUUAAAUAAAUUUGUAAGACAUGAUAUUUUCAAGAUAGAAAUUAAUGCUUAACUUAUAAUGGAUUUAAUAGCACGAGCUAAAAAUAUUUUUUUAAUAGAUGGAGUAAAUUAAGAUAUUCAUCUAAAAUAUUUUAGGUUGAAUAAUUUUCUUGCAGAAUAUUUCAUAAAAAAAUACAAAAUAAUUUUUUUAAAAUUUUUAUGCAAAACAAAUAAGACUAUGUUAGCCUCAUCACAUUUUAUUAAACUAAACUUGUAGGACACUUCAUUUUUUGUCCAGAUGGAAAUUAAGACAUGCCAGACCCAUAAGCUGGACUUUGGUUGCCAAAGACUUCGCUACAAUUUCUCGAUUAUCAUCUAGACUUGGUGCGUUUAAUUUCCAGGAUUGAGAUGUUUUGACGACUUUAAAAAGCUUUGACGUGUUCAUCACUCGUUUCUAGCUAUGUUUAUUAUUUUCCAGGAUUAGAUUUUGAGACUUGCUAAUAUUAUGAAGGGUUUGGAACUGUGUUUUAGAAAAAUCCUGAUUUUUUUAAGUUUUGAAUUAUAAUAAUUUUCUAUUUUUAUAUUGUUUUGAUGUAUUAAUGUUCAAAAAUAUUAAAAAUAAAAAAUAUAUUAUUUUAAUAAUUUUUCAAGCCAAAAUACAUUUAGAAAAACAACAUCUACUACACUUUGAAAUAUCUAUCUUUGUAAAUUUGGUGACUAUUCAGUCCAGAGGAAAGUAUCAAUCAAUCCCUAUAAUCGUAAAGAUAUUCGAGAUUAUAAAAGCUCUAUCUCGGCACUUAAAUGGAAGAAUAUUAUUAUCCAAGUCCAUAUCAUAUGUUUUUUAAGUGCUGAAGGAAAUGCAUCAAUUAGUUAUUAGUUGGUUAUUAGGAGCAUACUAAUCCAAGUCGAUAAAUAAUUUUCAAAUUAGUGGAUGGCCCAAAAGUUUUGGGUUUCCGUCCAUCCCAUUUGGAGUCCAAAACCAUGUCUGGAUAUUACAAAGAAACAGAAAACGAAAGUCUCUUAAUGACUUGUUAAAAAGCCAACCUUAACUUUUCUUAGUAAUUGGCAAGCUAUAAAACCUCAAGAAAGAGAGAGUUUGGCUACGAGAGAAAGUUUAAAUCUUACCUUUUCUGCCUUAAUCAUCAGUGAUUGAAGAUCUAAAAAGGAUAAACUUUUAGUAUGUUAUUCUUGUUUGGUUUCUGAAACAUAUACGCACAGGGAAAAUAGUAACUUUUAAAUUUUUUUGGAAGUUUCAAAAAUUCUUAUUAGAAAAAUAUAGAGUUGUUAAAAGUUUAUGCCAAGAUUACUUAAAGAUCUGAAUUUCUUUUGACUUGGAAUAUAUGUUUUAAAGUUGGGUUAUCGCAAACCAUAAGCUUUCUAGUUGUCUGGCCUCUAAAGUUAAUCCACAUGAACUAUUAGUGAGAAAUAUCUUAAACCCUUUUAAAAGAAAGGUUGGUAUACCUUAGAGAAAGGUUGUUAAAAUCGUGAUUUUAACAUGAUACGGAAAAUGCAAAACAAACUCGGAUCGUAAAUCAUAAGGAAUUUUAAAAUAUAUUAACAAAAAAUAUAUGCUUCAAAUAAAAAUUCAUGCAUAGUUCAAGCCCCUUAAAAUACAUGCUUCAAAUAAAAAUUCAUACAUAGUUCAAGCAUCUUAAAAUAAGUAGUUCAAAUAAAAAUUCAUACAUAAUUUAAAUAACUUUUCAUUAGCUAAUAAUUAACAAACUUAAAACAAACAAUCUGCUGGUGUGUCAUGUAAACUAAAACCAGAUUCAUUGCCUUCAUCUUCCUCAUUAUUCCUUAGACAUUCAUCAAUAUCAUUAGUAUUAAGAGGAUUAUUAGUGUCACUACUGAUACCAACACCAAUAUUAUGAAUAUUAGUGUUACUAUUAGUACCCACACCAAUAUCAUCAAUUUCAAUCUUCAAAUCAUCUUCAGUACCAUGACUCUCCAUUUCAACAUCAUUAGGAAUUUCUUCAUCACUUUCAUCUUCAUUACCAAAAUCAUCAGCUUGCUUUUUGAUUUGAUUAUUAUUCAAUUUCAUAUUGCACAUUACAAAUGCCAAGUCAUUCAUUUUUCUCAGGUGCAAACAAUUUCUUUGUUUUGUAUGAAACUAAAUAAACAAUUCAAAUUUAUAAGAUUUUUUUCAAAUAUUUCAACAUUUAAAAUAAAUAAAAAACUCACCAUUUCAAAAUGCACUCCAAUUACGCUCACAUCUAGAUGAAAUACAAGUCAAGCUUAAAACUCGGAUUGCAAACCUUUGUAAUUCUGAACAUUCAUCAUAAUAGAAAUCCCACCAGUUGGAGUUUUUUUUUUAUCUCUUGCUGUCUUGGUAGCCUCAAAGCCUAACAACCCUUUUGCAUCCUUAAAUGAUUCAAGUUGCAAGUCAAUUUUGCACAUUUCACUUACAUUAGGCACUAUCUUUUCUAAGCAUUGAUAUAAUCCAAUUUUAAUAUUGGCAUUAACCUUAAAAUUGAGAUUAUAAUGAUAAUGAAGAUUCAAAUAAUAAGCUGCUGCAUGUAAGGGCCCGUGGAGUUAAAGUUCUCAUCUUACAUCAACAAUAUUCCAUAUGAGUAUAUAACUAUAUAAAAAAAAACAAUAAAAAUAUCAUUACAAUCUAGUAAUAUCUCAAUUGGAAGUAUCUCUAAAGACAUUCAUAUUAAUAAAUGACAACAUUUGAAAUAAAAAUUAGCAAGAUAUAUAUCUUUUUUUCACAUAACCAAAAUUCACUUAUAUUUUCUUUUUUGACUCAUCCAUUGAUUUAUAUAUAAAACUCAUAGCUUCUCAUUUGAAUUAACUAAUCGAAGAAAUUUAAUUAGAGGAUAUGCUGCCUUAAUACAUAUAGUGACAUCAUGCCAAAACCUACUGUCCAAAACACAAUUUUGAAUUCGUUUCCCUUCCUCUAUUCUUGCAAACCUACAUAAACUCCACUAUUUGUAAGUAAACAUAGUCAUCAACUACAUUUUAUGAUCAUUCAAACAUUCCAGAGUCAAAUUUUUAGACCCGACUCAAUCCAAGGCCCGAGUUUCGGGUUUUGACCAGGUCACUGGGUCGUCCGAGUCAAAUCUUUUUCUUAAAAAAAUCAAAACGAUGUCGUUUUAGUAAAAAUAAAAAAAGUUAACAAGUUGCAACUGGUUUUUUGACCGAAACAACCGGGUCACACCUGAUUUUUUCUUCCCCUGUUUUUUCUUCAACUCGGUCCAAUUCCAGUCCCGAGGCAGACCGAGUUUCAAAACUAUAUCUAGGGGUAUUUUUAUAUUUUUAUUCUGGUUUUUUCAUUAUAAUUAAUUUGAUUGAGGACAAUUAGGUAUUUUUAUUAAAUAUAGAAUAUUAUUUUUUUUAGAAAAAAAGGGGAGGCAUGUGGGAAGAUCCCACGAUCUUCUAGUAAUAUGUGUUGUGGUGUUUGGUGGUCAAACAAUAACUUUCAUGUCAAUUUUCUAAUUGUCUUAGUGACCCUUCCAUUUCUAAACAAUGUGUGUAACUUGAUCACCUUUGAUUUGACAUUAGUAUUCGUUUUUUUGUUAUAAUAGAUUUGAUUGAAGGAUAAAUUUUUACAAGUACUGUUUUCCUUUUUAUUAUCGUUGUCACUUUUUCUUUUUAUAAUCGAUUCCUUUUGAUCAUUUAUUUUUCUAUCAUGUAAUUGAUCAUUUUUCAUGUAGAAAAAAAAAAUCAAUCCAGUCUGUCUGUGAUGAAUAUCGUACAACCUAUCUGAUUAUAGUUUGGAUACAAUAAAACCUUAGAGUGAAUUAUCACACAAGGCCACGUGAAACAUAAAAAAACAGUAAAAUAUUCAGGCAAGUACAAAGAGUAGAUUGGCGCGUGCAAACACUCUCUAGACAUCGGUUUUCUCAAUUUUAUCCUGUGGCUUCCCGCACUCUCUCUUUUAUUACAAUACAGCUCAAGACAGCGAGCCUGGUCUCCAUUUACUUGGACACAAUCGAAAUCCUGCCACGUGUACAUCAUAAAAUAAAAAUUGAUAUGCGCCGCUAAAAAAAUCCCCCAGCCCAAAGGUUCAAACUUUGAGGGAGUCACUGCCUCGCUCACCUGCUUCCUUCUUUACGUGUCCCACCUCCUAACUGUACAAGUCAGCUCUUGUGGCUCCAUUUCAUCCUCUUCUUUUCUCCCAAAAGAUCUCUCUUCGACCUUUAUUUCUUCACUCUUAAGCCUCUCUACUAAAAUAUCUUCAUAUUCUAUCUUUUUGAAAAGAAAUUUCCUGCUCUUGGGAGAGAGAUAUUGGAUUGAGGUUCUCCUUGCAGAGAGAGAGAGAGAGAGGGAGACACGAACUGGGUUUCACUUUAAGGCAGAAAGGUCAGAUUCGAGGUUUGAAAAGGCAAAAAGAGAGGGUUCUUUUUUCUAUUUUUUCAGAAAGAAGAGAGAAGAAGAUAGGAUUUUCAGAGAGAGAGAUAAGUUUAAGGUUGUAGAAGAAGAUAAACUAUUGUGGUUGCGUGUGGGUUUUUUUUUUUUUUUUGUGGGGAUAGUGAAACAGAGAAAUCCAAAGAAGAUUGGGAGCUCUUAGAGAAAAUUGGAAAGAGAGAGAGAUAGCUGGGGAAGAUGAAGAUACAGUGCAACGUCUGUGAGGCAGCGGAGGCGAACGUGCUAUGUUGUGCGGACGAGGCGGCGUUGUGUUGGACAUGUGACGAGAAGGUUCAUGCAGCUAACAAGCUUGCUAGUAAGCAUCAGAGGGUUCCACUUUCUACUUCUUCUCCUCAGAUGCCUAAAUGUGAUAUUUGUCAGGUAAUUAUUUUAUUUUUCCACCUGUUUAAUUAUUUUUAACUUGAUGAUGUUAUUGAGUUUCUAUUAUUAAUAAGAUUUUUUAUUUGAUGUAUCAUGUACUAGUUGUGGUUAUUGGCUUCUGGAGAAUGGUUUUAGAUUUUGUUUUGUAGUUUGUCAAUAGGGAGGGAAAAGAUUUAAACUUGUUCUUACUGAAUUAGCUAUUAGUAAUUAGGAUGAAUGUAUGCCUACAUCUUCUUUUUAUAAUUUUAAUUAAUUGCGGACUCAACAUGAUUCUGGGUUUAGUGUGAUAUCACGGUCUCUGAUAUCUUUUUAAUGACUUGGUGUCAUAAGGUUAUUGUUUAGUAUCCAACCUAUAAGUUGAGGGUAAUGGGAUUAGCUUCUCUUUCCUUGGAAUUAUGUAAGCAAAGCAUUCCCCUUCCAAACGAGUGAAUAAAUAAACAACUCCCAGCUCUGAACCUCUGCUGUUAAAUUGAAGAAACUAGGUUGGUUUUUUGUAUUCUUACACAAGCCAUUGCCAAAACAUUCGGUGUUUCUUUUUGUGUCCUAGGGAAUUUAAUAUAGUCUCUAUCUGGAUGAAGCAGAGUAUGAUAGUUAGAUGUGAAUAAGAGUGAUAACUGCUGGUUUUUCAAGGCCACAUUUGAGGUGCAUUAAUGUUAAGGAAGACCGGAUUUGACAAAUAUUUUGAGCGAAAAAGGUAAACCAAGACAAUCAAGAAGAAAAGGGAAGAAAGCGUUCUUUUGGUUUGGCAACAAGUUUGAAAACUGUUAUAUGAGAGGUCCAACCACGCCAAUUGCGUUUGAUUAACAAAAACAUCAGGAAUUGGACCAAUAAAAUUAUUGUAUCCAAGAUCCAGGUACCCGAGAUGCUUAAGUUUUUCAAACGAGAAAGGAAUUUGACCACCCAACUGGUUACCUGCAAGUCUCAACUCAAUGAGUUGAGUGAGGUUACCAAGUAGACCAAGAUUCGAGCCAACAAAAUUGCACCCAUUAAGAUCCAAAUGCGAAAGAGCAUUGCUCAAAUUGUAUGGCGGAAAAGAGCCAGUGAGUCCUUCGUUACUCCUUAAAUAGAGCGAUUGAAGGUUUGAUAGGCGAGAGAAAUUAUCAGGGAGUUCCCCUUUCAAACCACGAUCCCCGAGUUGGAGAGACUUUCCCUGGACUCCUCUCCAAAUACAACGACGUCGCAACUUGACUUGAUAUUUUAACUGGCACGAGAGAAUGGAGCUGAUAGCUACGUUCCGGAAUGCAUAUUUCCCCUUUCCUCGUUGUUUCUAAAAUUAUUUAAAUAACCAAUUUUAUAUGUACUAAUACUUGCACUCAAUUUGUCCUACUAAAUAUUAAUACUAUAGCACUGUGAAGAGAUCUUUGAUUUUUAAUCUCUUUCGAUUUUAUAAACUCUGAUUUUUUACGUUUUGCUAAUCAAAACGUUCUCUUGAAGUUUUCACAUUCUCGCCUAUUACAACUUUCAAAACUCCAUUCUUAAUUCUAAUUCUAAAAAAAUUUAAUUUCUUUUUCAAAUUAAUUUUUUUAUAUUUUUAAAUUAUUUUAAUAGCUGAUGUCAAAAAUAAAAUUUAAAAAAUAAAAAAUAUAUUAUUUUAAUAUUUUCAUCACUGAAUGCUUUAUGCAUAUAAUUUCCAAGAUAUUUUAUAUGUACGCCGUUGAAACCUAGCCCACCUCAAUUAUGACGACUUCAAAAACUUUUGAUAUGUUCAAGGAUAGUAAGGUCGUGGAGGUCCAGUAUUUGGCUACUGAUGUGUACUUGGCAAGUAUCAGCCACCAAAUGAUCAUGGAAUGUAAGAACAGUAUGAUAGCUUCGUUCCAUUACUUGCUAUGGAAAAGUUCCUUUGGUAAAUGGUCUUUGCAAAUGAAUGAGUGUCUGAUUUCCCACCACAUUUAAUUAAAUAAUUUUGUAGGAUUAUCAUCCAUUAUUUUCUAGAUAGCAUUGGUUGCCAAAGACUUGGCUACAAUUUCUCGAUUAUCAUCCAUCAAGUGAUGGUGAUAUCGUGAAACUAUAUAUUUGCAAGUGAACCUUCAGUUCCAUAUUCAGCACCACAUGAAGAGUGGACACUAUCUAUACGUGCAUCCAAAUUCCGAAGACUUGGAGGUCAAUAAUGCUAUUGCCAGAAGAACGUGUUGACUGGUUUACAACUUGUGUUAGUGACUUAAGGGACCUCUCCUCGUGUGGAAAUAUUCGCUGAAAGGAUUUAUUGGUUGCUGUACAGCUGCGGAUUCGACACAAGAAGGUGAAGACGACUUCAAUUGUUUUUUAUUUCAAUCAUGUAUACAUUAUCCAUAGUUUAAAUUAUUUUUUAUUUAAAAUAGAAAAGGGAAAAAUCAAAGUAAAUCAAUCGAAGGAACGGAUUUUUUUUUUUUUUAGAAAUGAGAUUUUUGAAUUUAUACUUAACCAGAAAAAAAUGUUUGGCCACCUGAUAUUAAGGUGGAAGACUGAUCAUGGAAUGUAAGAACAGUAUGAUAGCUUCGUUCCAUUACUUGCUAUGGAAAAGUUCCUUUGGUAAAUGGUCUUUGCAAAUGAAUGAGUGUCUGAUUUCCCACCACAUUUAAUUAAAUAAUUUUGUAGCACACGUGAUAUUUUCUAGAUAGCAUUGGCUACCAAAGACUUCGCUACAAUUUCUCGGUUAUCAUCCAUCAAGUGAUGGUGAUAUCGUGGAACUGUAUAUUAUUUCCCACGAUACCAUCACUUGAUGGAUGAUAAUCGAGAAAUUGUUUUUGCCUUCCUUAGAAAAUUGCUUGCGCUCCAUGAUAGUGGACAACCGGCAGAGAAAAAAAUGAGGCAAGAAACAGAGGCAGAGAGCUCUGAUAUUAUGUAAAACGGAGAAAGAAAAGAUUUGCCAGAAAAGUUAUUUUCAUUGAAUCUGUUGCUGCCGCUAUAUACAUGUAUUUUCCUAUAAUUGUGCUUAGCUAUUUUUGGAAUAAGAAUUACAAUAGGGAUAGAUACCCUUGACAGCUUAUUUUUACAUAUUUUUUUCCUAAUCCAUUACGUAACCAUGAGAAAUUGUUGAUCCUUUCUUAACAGAAGCCCCCAGCAACGUACACUUCCCAUCAGACGAGCUGCAAAGGAAGAUCACAAACUGUAUCUAUUAGCACAUAUUCAUUGCUAUUUUCUAAGCUAUGAAAUGCUUCUUCUUCUGAGAAACAUAUAAAUUGCUUAACCCUUCAAGUAAGCUGUCCCCUGUUCUUGUUAAUAAUAGCAAUAAGAAUCAUUAGUAUUAAGUUUGUAAGCCAGCAAGGAAUAGCAGCGGGGUAGAUGUCCCCGAGAACAGCUGCCAUCAGACGAGCUACAGAGAAAGUUGUAAUUAGAGCAUGAAAUGUAUCUAUCCCCGAGAACAGUUGCCAUCAGACUUGCAGCAAAAAUGUCAAUUUUGGAAAUUAGUACUGCCGUGUUUCCAACGCUCAGUCUUGUAUGGAAAUAUUUGCAAGUAAAUCUUUAGUUCCAUAUUCAACACCACAUGAAAAGUGGACACUAUCUAUACGUACAUCCAAGUUCCGAAGACUUGGACAGACCAAAUGAAGAUUGGUUCUCCCUUGAUGUUGAAAGAGAGAGAGACCUCUUAGGACGACCAAUCCCACAGUAUCUUGAGGGCAAGAACCCAAUCUCCAUUGUUUGUCAGUUUUGUAGUAACUGUUCAAUAAAGCUAUUGCCAGAACGUGUUGACUGGUUACAAUUGUGUUAGUGACUAAGGGACCUCUCCUCGUGUGGAAAUAUUCGCUGAAAGGAUUUAUUGGUUGCUGUACAGCUGCGAUUCGACACAAGAAGGUUAAGACGACUUUGUUUAUCAAUUGUUUUUUAUUUCAAUUACGUAUACAUUAUCCAUAGUUUAAAUUAUUUUUUAUUUAAAACAGAAAAGGGAAAAAUCAAAGUAAAUCAAUUGAAGGAAUGGAAAGAAUUUUUUAAAAACAAAAUAUUACUAAUCAAGGUGCAUACAUUAUUUCCAUUGGUUUUUAUUCUUACUUUAUUUUUUUUUAAAUCCUGGAAAAGGUAUUAAUUACUCAUAUUAUAGGUAUACAAAAAUAAUAAUAGUAUUCAAAAUAUUACUUUAUUUUUUUUUAUUUAAGAUGUUUUUGAUGUACACAAAAAUGUUUUUCGAAUAUGCUAGUUUCAUUUAUAGGUCGUAGAAAAUUGAUAAAAUUUUUUGAAUUUGUCUUAUUUUUUUUAAUUCAAAUUAAUAUUUCUUGAUAUUUUUGCAUUAUUUUGAUGUGAUGAUAUAACAAAUCAAUCUUAAAAAAUAAAAACAUAUUAUCUUAAUAUAUAUAUUUUUUUUAAAUAAUCAUUACGUAAUAAUAUAAUAAUUAGCAUAGUGGCCCGCGCUCCACAGCGAGUCAAUAACAAUUUUUUUUUUAAAAUAUAAAAAUACUUGAGUUGAUAAAAAUACUUGAGUUGAGUUAAAAGCAUGAAAUGUAUUUACAUCAUCAUCAUUGUCGCACGUCAAAAACAAAUCCCGCGCGGCAUCGGUUGUCGAUUUUUAUCUCGUUGUUAUUGCGUUUGCUUUGAUUGGUUCGUUGGAGUCGCCACCUAGUAAUUUAUUGAUAGCUACUAGGAAACCGGAUGUACUGGUCUUGUCAGAGAUUCGUGGGUAAGGGACUGGUUGUGGUUAGGGAAGGUAUUAUCACCCCUAACACACCCUACCUGAGGUAAGCUGCUUCGCGAAUUUUGAUGUGUUAACGAAGUUUUAAUAAUUGUCUUUUCAUCGGAAAUUAGAAAUAUCACUUAUGUAUAAGUUAAUAAUUCUUAACCGUGAUCCGAUCAAAAUAUUAAAUUCUUCUUUAAUAUAUUUGCAAUUUUAUCAUUAAAAAAUAUAUACAAAUAAAUAAACAAAAUACAAACACCCGCCUCCUCUUUUACUAUAUUUUUCUUUUCUUUUCUUUUCUUUUUUUUUUUAUAUUCUUUUCUUUUUGUACAUCCACAUUACAAAUUAUAUAAAAAAAACAAUUCAAAUUAAACAAAAAUUACAUUACAUAAUUUACAAAAUUACAAAGUAGUCCCUAAACUCCAGAAAUUGCAGGUGAGCCCUUCUGCCACCUAAGCAACAGUGGCGGCGCGUCUCCCCAUGCUGGGUUCACGCGCCGCCGUGAAAAACACAGCAACAGGGGGGAUCGACUUCUUCCACUCAUCCUUUCAUCACCGGCGGUGACCUGCAAAGCAAACCUCAACACACAGCAAGCAGUUGAUUUUAAUUUUUGUUUCCUUUGUUUUUGAAAUCUGCUUUGGUUUCUUCUUUUUAGAUCUGCCCCCUCCGUUUCUCUGCCUCCUGUCUUCUCUGUCUCAGGUGACCGGAUUUGCGGUCAGGGCGUUUGUGGCUAACGGUCGGUAGCCUCUCCUGGCGGUAGCAGUGGCGGUUGGGCUUGCUGCUGGUGUCGACCGCUGCUGGGUUCUUCGGUGGAAGAAGGCUGUGAACGGGACUCCUGCUGCUGCUGUGUGGCUUGAUGGUGGGAGAUCGGAGAGCUCGAGAGAGGGGGGUUCUCGGGCGAAGAAGGAGAUGGGGCGAUGGGUGUCAGGGAGAAGAAGAUCGGAUGUGGUGUGGUUGUGGCUGCUGUGUUUUGCGUGAUGUGAGGCUGUGAGCAGCGACUUGGAAGAAAAAAAUUGAAACCGGAGAAAAAGGGGGGGGGGGCGGUGCUGAUGAAGAAGAAGAUGGGAAACAACGGGGUAGAUUGAGGUGAGGGGCUGAAGGUCGGCUGGUUGAGGAGUAAGGGGCAGCGGUUGGUGGCUUUGAAAUGGCCAGCCUCCGGGGAGAAAAAAAAUCAAAGCAAAUGGCCGGCGGCUGGCUGUUUUUGAGAAGAAUAAAAUGGUGAGUAGUGGCUAGACGUUCAAAAAAUUGAAACCGGAGGGGGGCGGCCUCUUUGGGUAGAAUUAGGGAGGUUUUUUUAUUUGUUUAGGGUUAGGGUUUUUUGUAUUUGUCUUCUGGUAAUUUCAAAAUUGCCCCCCUUUUAAAAAUUCAGUGUAGCAUGGUAUUUAUAGGAAAAGUUUUGCUAGGUUUUCAAACUAGUCCCUCAACUUUUCCUUUCCUUCUCUUUUUCUCUUUUUUUUGUAAAUUUUGAUUUUUCUUAUUUUUUUGUAUUUUUUGAAAACGAGUAAUAUCAACGUUGACUCAAUGAGGAAAAUCAAUGAUUUUAAAAAUGACGCGUGAGAAGUCGAACGCGUUUGAAAAUCUUUUGAAAUUUAAAUUAUUUUUUAAACGACACUGAAAAUGCUAAAAUGACGAGAAUAUAUUAAAAACAUAUUUUUUUGGAUUUUCAUUGUUUUUCUCUAUUUUUGGAUUUUUUGAAAAUAUAUAAAAAACAUGGGUCAAAAAUUGGGUAGCAACAAUCAUCUUUAAAUAAAAUAUUUUCUACAGUCGUACCAUAAAUAACGUAUAGCAAAAUAAUGCUCAAUACAUCGGUAACUAAUUUAUUUCCCUUGAAUUUUUUUUCCUUUUAAGAUAUUUUCAAUUUAAUGUUUUUUCCUCUUGAAAUUUUUUUUCUUCUCUUAAGUAAUUUUUUUUUUAAUAAAGUAAAGAGAAAAUAAAUUGAUGAGACUUAUUUUAUAUUGUACAAAAAUUAAUUUAUGAUAAUUUUCUGAUUAAAGCAUGUUUGUUUUUACUUUUCAAAAAUAUUUUAAAAAAUAGAUUUUUAAAAUUUUUUUCUUUAAUUUAAAUUCAUAUUUAUUGAUGUCUUUGUAUUAUUUAUACCUUUUUCAAUAUCCACGUGUUCCUAACAUGUUUUAACAUCGUUGCGAUGUCUAUAACGCACAGUGAACGCCAUUCCAGCUACAAAGAAAGUUCCAACGAGCACACAGACUUGCUGCGCAUCGGUCACAUAGACUGGAUCUCGACAAAAAUGUUAAUUUUGGAAAUUAAUUAAUAUUGCCGUGAUUCCAACACUCUUGUUUGGUCAUCAACUAAUUAAGGACCACAUGAAGAUUGGACAGUAUCUAUAGAUCCAAGUUCCGAAGACUUUUAUGGACCAUUGCCUAUUGCUUUCUGACCUUGAUAUGAAAUAUACACUUCACCACCUCUACUUGAACAGGAGAUCAGUCCCAAUUUUACUGCAAGAUCGGUUAGUACACUACAACAGCUAAGCACUGCACUCCACAUUUUUCUUCGUAUUAACUGUCGCACGUGUGCGGCGGCGCGGCGAUCGUCCACCCUCAAGGAAAAAAAAAAUCGGAAUAUUUAUUCCCGACAAAAAAAGGAGAGACAAGGAUAUUCUUGUCUCUAUAAGUGAAAAUAUGGACUAGGAGUCGCCACCUAGUAUUCUGGUUACUAGGAACCUUAACUGGUCUUUAGAGAUCGGGUACGGAGACUAGUUGCGUAAAGGGAAGGUAUUAGCACCCCAACUACGCCCUACCUAAGGUAGGCUGCAUUGUUUUAAUGUCUGAUAACAUCUAAGGUCGUGUUUUAUUGUUCGGAAUACGCAUUACAUGUAAUGUCAUAUCCCAAGUUCUAUAAAAAAAUAUAUAUAAAAAUUAAAUAAAUAUCCGGAAUAUGUAUUACGUAUAAUGUCAUACCCCGGAUAUUAAAAGAUAAACAAAAUAAAAUUUUUGUUGUUUUUUUGAAAUUUUGGCCAAUAUUCUCUUGACUUUAAUAAACUGGUUAUUAAAGCCAAAAUGCAUGCUAAAACAUUGAUUUUUUUUUUUGUAUGAAAAAUACAAAAUGAUUUUUUUUUGAGACAUUUGGCCGUAUGCACAAAAAAACAUUUUUUUUUAUUUGUUUUUGUAUUCUUGAAAGUCGAAAACCGGGUAUUUCAGUACCGGAUUUGUAUUUUACGACAUAGGAAUAUUGUCCCAUAUUACAUAAAAAUGACAUAAAAAAUACGGGGAAAAAUUAUAAAUAAAACAAGUAUUUUUGAUUUUUUCCUUUUUUAUGGGCCGGAUGAACAGUACCGUAUGAACAGUGGUAAAAUGAUAGAAGAAAAUGUGUCUUUUUUAAAAAAUAAAAAUAUAAAUAAUAACAAACAAAAUAAUAAUAAUAAUAAUAAUAAUAAUAAUAAUAAUAAUAAUAAAAAUAAAUAAAUAAAUAAAAACAUGGGCCGGACCCAGCCCAAAUGCAUGGGCUGGGCCAACCAAGCCCGUUUACAGGGGCUGGGCUGAACGGCCCAGCCCAGGCCCAAAUGGGCUGGUUACUGUGCAUCAGCACAGUAACCAGCCCACGCUGCAUUUUGCAGCAGAACGUGAAUUAUUCACGUUCUGCAUGCAAGUGCAGGCAGGGACAGCGAGGGCGAGAAGAAAAAAAAAAAAGUGAUGGCGAGGGAGCAGGAGGUUACCUGACGCGGUGGAGCUUCCAACUGGAGCGGUGGCCGGCGGUGCUGCUGGUGAUCGAAGGGUGGCAGAGGCGACGAUUUCUUCUCUCUUCUCCCCUGCUUCUUUCUUUCUUCUUCUGUUUCUGUUUUUUUUUUUCUUUUCUUUUCCUCUUCUUCUCUUCUUUCUUCUCUUCUCUUCUCUUCUCUCUUCCCUCUCCCUCCUCUUUUUUUUUUUUUUUUUCUUUCGGUGCCUCCCCUGUUUUUAUAGGCAAAAACAGGGGGUGGUGACUGUUGGGGCGGCCACUGUUGGCCGCCCCUCCACUAUCCAAGUGGCCGAAAAAGUAUGCAAGUGGCUAUUGUGGGCGUCUUUUGAAGGGGGUGAAAGAAGUUCGGCGAAAAGUGGAGAAGACAAAAUCUUCUCCCCUGUUCUCUGCGUGCGCAGGGAAGAAGACAAUGGUGCUCAAAACGGCCCGUUUUGGGUUUUUUUUUUUUUUUUUUUUUUUUUUGCAGCAGUUACAUGAAACGGCGCCGUUUUGGUCAAAACGCGCCGUUUCAUUUAAAAGGAAAAGGCGCCAAAACUUUUCAGAUUCAAAUUUCAGCCCUCAAUUUGCGCGCGUUUGCAAUUUAGUCCUUGGUCUCGGAUUGCUUCAAUUAAGUCCCUAAUUGGCCAUUAAACUUCAAUAUUUAUGCAAUUAAGCCCCUGAUUUUACCAAAUUAACUUCCAAAAAUUAUAAUUUGACCCAGAAAAUUAAUUUCUCCUAAUUAAAGCCCAAAUUAACUCCAAAAUCAAUUUUUCUUGCAAUUAAAAUCUUCAUAAAUGCAAUUAAACCUUUAAUAAAAUUUAAUUGAGUCCAUAAACUUCUGAUUUUGCAUUUUUCUUCCACAAAUUGAAUUUUCUUUAUCAUCAGGGCUCUCAUCGGUCAAUGAUAUACUGUCAAAAAUUAAUUUUUGAUUUUUGAACAUCCUCAAUCAAUUUUUAAGCAUUUUUAGGGCGCUUUGACAUUUUUUCACUGUUCUAUUUUUUGAUAUAUUUUUUUGAAUUUUUUUGUAUUUUAUUAUUUUUUAUGUGGGGACCCAGAAAUGGGUUACAACAUUAACACUAAAAACAAAACGAAGCUGGAUGUUGUAUAUGUAACCGCAGAUUUAUCCAGCAAAAAUCUGUACCAAGGGUUGCAUUAUAGAGGGGUAGAUGUCCCCGAAAACAGCUGCCAUCAGACGAGCUACAAAGGAAGUUGUAAUUAGAGCAUGAACUGCAUCUGUUAGCACAAAGACUUGCUGCAAAAAUGUCAAUUUUAGAAAUUAGUACUGCCGUGUUUUCAACGCUCACUCUUGUAUGGAAAUAUUUGCAAGUAAACCUUCAGUUCCAUAUUCAGCACCACACAAUCUCUAUACAUCCAAGUUCCGAAGACUUGGUGGUCAAGGACAGACCAUGUGAAGAUUAGUUCUCCUUUGUUGAUGCUGGAAGAGAGAGACCUUUUAGGACGACCAGUCCCACAGUUUAUUGAGGGCAAGAACAUUCAAACUCCAGUCUCCUCGUGUGGAAAUAUUCGCUGAAAAGUCUUGCUGUACAGCUGCGAAUUGGACACAAGAAGGUGAAGAUGACUUUGUUUAUCAAUUUUUUUAUUUCAAUUAUGUAUACAUAAUCCCAUAGUUUAAAUUAUUUUUUAUUCAAAAUAGAAAAGGGAGAAAUCGAAGUAUAUCAGUUGAAGGAUUGGAAAGAAUUUUUAAAAAACAAAAUAUUACUAAUCAAGACGUGUACGUUAUUUCCAUCGGUUUUUAUUCUUACUUUAUUUUUAUUUUUAUUUUAAUCCUGGAAAAGGUAUUAUUCAUAUUAUAGGUAUACAAAAAUAAUACUAGUAUUCAAAAUAUUACUUUUUUUUUAUUUAAGAUGUUUUUGAUGUAUACAAAAAUGUUUUUCCAAUAUGCUAGUUUCAUUUAUAGGUCGGGGAAAUUUAUAAGUAGAUAAUUUUAAAUAAAAAUUAUUAGAUCUAGACUAGCGUCCGGAGUUUUCAUAUCUGAUACAAAUCAACCAGCACAGUGACAUGAUAAAAAAUAAAAUAAAAUUGAAAUUGAGAUAAGAAUGACCGAGGGUAUAACGUUAUCAGAACUUCAAUUGUUUUCUUAACAACGUUUGUCUAUUGCCUAAGUAGAGGUAUCUUAGUUGAGAAAUAUGAUGUGCAAGCUAACUAAAUUUGGUGUUUGACCAUAUAUAUAUAUAUAUAUAUAUAUAAAUUUAAACUAGCGUCAAUAGAUAUUUUGUUUUUUCAUAAUAAUUUUUUUGUUAUUAUAAUGUUAGAUGAAAGGAAAUUUGGUGUUUGGCUAUAUAUAAAAAAACUAAUAAACAAUGAAAAUGUACACUGAAAUGACUAAAAUACCCUUCAAAUCAAAUAUUUAAAAAAUGGAAUCAAUGGGCUUUUUUGUCAUUUCACAAUGGUUAUUAUUAUUAUUAUGUCAGCUUAGGGAAAAAUUGGUAUUUUUCUAAAAAAAAAAAAAGGAUAAGCGUGUGUACGAUGUCGCUUAUAUAGAAGGCAAACCCACACUUUGGGCAGCAUGUGCUCCACUUCCUAGUAUAUAAAAAUGCCCUUAUAUAAACUAUUUUGUUAGAAGUGUUGUUGUGUCCUUUUCCCUAUGAAGCGACGCAUGUUGGAGUUGAUGGUCCGGUUUAUUAUUGGUGGACCUUUUUUUCUCCUUUUCUCUUUCAUCCUUAAAACAUUAUAGUUUGGCCCUCAUUAUUGUGGAUAUUUCAACUUCAUUCCUUUUUUUUAUUUGUAUUUUUGUUUUUGGUGUUCUUUUAGAAGUUUUAUUUGUUUUCAAUUUCAUCCUUCAAUCCCAAUUUAUAAAUAUUAUAUUUUUAAAUUUGGUCUUUAUUUUUUGGUUUCUAAUUUUUUUCUUAGCUCUUUUAUAAAAAAAUUAUUUGUUUUUAAUUUCAUCAUUCAAUCAAAAUUGAUAGUAUUAUGCUUUCCAAUUUGGUCUUCAUUGUUUUGAUUUCUAAUUUCUUUAUUGGAACUUUUAGAAAAAUUAUUAUUCUUUUCAAUUUCACCUUUCAAUCAUAUAUUUUUUUAAUUUUUUAUGUUAAUUUUGAUACUCAUUCUUUUAAUUUUUUUGGCCUUUUUUUAAAAUUGAUUGUUUUUUCAAUUUUACUAUUUAAUUAAAUAUAAAAUUUAUUUGGUAUUUGAAUUUUAAUCCAUAUUGUUUUAAUUACUAAUUUUUUGAAUUUUUUGUAUAAUUGAUUUUCAGCACCACGUGAAGAUUGGUUUGUUAGAGAAUAAUAUAAAUCAUAUCUUAGAACCUCAUCCAAUAGCUUAAGCCAUUGGGUUGAGAUGGUUUUUUGACAUGGUAUCAGAGCCUUGAUGACCAAGCGGUCACGAGUUCGAAUCUCACCAUCCCCAUUUAUUUGAUAAAAAUUAAGCACAAGGUAAUGUGGGUCUGUGUAAGUUUCAAGCCCAAAGGGCUUUCACUUGAGGGGGUGUGUUAGAGAAUAAUAUAAAUCAUAUCUUAGAAUCUCAUCUAAUAGCUUAAGCUAUUGGGUUGAGAUGGUUCUUUGACAUGGUUCUUCCUUGUUGAUGCUGGAAGAGAGAGACCUUUAGGACGACCAAUCCCACACUAUCUUGAGGGCAAGAACCUUAAAACCUCAAUCUCCAUUGUUUGUAGGUUUUCUAGUAACUGUUCAAUAAAGCUAUUGCCAGGAGAACGUGUUGACUGGUGUACAAUUAGUCUUGUUGUACAGCUGCGGAUUGAAGAUGAAUUUGUUUAUCAAUUUUUUUUAUUUCAAUUAUGUAUACAUAAUCCCAUAGUUUAAAUUAUUUUUUGUUUAAAAUAGAAAAGGGAAAAAUCAAAGUAUAUCAAUUCAAGGAAUGAAAAGAAUUUUUAAAAAACAAAAUAUUACUAAUCAAGAUGUAUGCAUUAUUUCAAUUGAAAAAAAACAUUUUUUCUUUAGGUUAUCCUAAUCAUUUCUCUUUUUAAAUUUGAUUAAUUUAUAGGUUUUUUUUGUUUAUUUGAAUUAAAGUCAUCUUAUCCAAUCUAGUCAGGUCUAUAACCCGAGUUAUAUAUUUUUUUUGUCUUUUAAAACAUGAUUGUGGUAAUUGAACAUUAUUUUUUACACAAAAUAAAAUAUAGUCCCAUGGCUAAGCGCAGGCUCCAAUUAUAGUUAACAUAUAUUUAAAGGACUUGACUUUGAAUAAUAAAAUGUUAAGCCCUUUUAACCUUGGUGCUCAAGACUUUUUAGGCUUUUAAAAAAAUAUAUAUAUUAAACUUAUUUUUUUCUUUUAAUUUCAUCCUCCAACAUUAGGCUUACAAGGUACUGGAUUUCAUAAUUGUUUUUUAUUUAUUUUAUAAAGUUAUCCUGAUUUUAUGAACCAGGUCAUGACGAGUAUUGCAGUUUAGCCGUGUUGACUCAUGUCAUUUUUUUUUAAUUUUUUAAUUUUUUUUAACUUCAUCAUUUAAAAUUAGGUUGAUUGAGAAUUGAUCUUCAUAUUUUUUUUUAUUUGAUUUCUAUAGGGUUAUCAUGGUCUCAUGACUUAGAUUGUGAAUUUUACAAAUUAGCUAUAUUGACUUAGGUCCUUUUUUCUUUUUAAAUUGAAUAAUUUAUUCAAUUUUAUUAUUCAAUAUUGAUUAUUAAACCUUCAUAAUCUAGCACAAGAAUAUUCAAUCGCGUUUUCACUACACUAAAACACCUUGAAAUCAUAUAAGUGUUAUCUUGGGGAAGACUUGGUAGUUUUAUAUUUAUUUUUCUUUUUAGAAAUGAGAUUUUUGAAUUUAUACUUAACCAGAAAUAAAUGUAUGGCGACCCAGAUGAUCGUAAGGUGGAGAUAUGGCUACGUUCCGUAUUUGACUUAGCAUAGACUGGAAGAUUGAUCCAAAUGCUUGUUUCCCAUCUAUCAUGCAUCAAGUGAUGCUAAUCUAAUUGAAACACUAAGUUUAUGACCGGAAAAAAUUGUUAUUCAAUCCAUCUGAUUUGAGGGGUCAAUCUAGUGUUAUUAGGGUUUUUUAAAAAAAAAAUUUAUAUAAAUUUUUAUUAUAAUCAUUUUGGUGAAUGGAUACAUAAAAAAAUAAAAUUAAGUAUUUUAAUAUUUUUUUUAUGAUCCGUAUUUGACGUGGCAUAGACUGGAGGAUUGAUCCAAAUGCUUGUUCCCCAUCUAUCAUGCAUCAAUUGAUGCUAAUCUAAUUGAAACACUAAGUUUGUGACCAGAAAAAAUGGUUAUUCAAUCAAUCUGAUUUGGUAGGUCAAUCUAGUGUUAUUAGGGUUUUUUAAUUUUUUUUUCUAUAUAAAUUUUUAUUAUAAUCAUUUUGUGAAUGGAUACAUAAAAAAAUCAAAUUAAGUAUUUAAUUUUUUUUUAUGAUCCAUAUUUGACUUAGCAUAGACUGGAAGAUUGAUUCAAAUGCUUGUUUCCCAUCUAUCAUGCAUCAAUCGAUGCUAAUCUAAUUGAAACACUGAGUUUAUGACUGGAAAAAAUGGUUAUUCAAUCCAUCUGAUUUGGUUGGUCACUCUAGUGUUAUUAGGGUUUUUUUUAAUUUUUUUCUAUAUAAAUUAUUAUUAUAAUCAUUUUGGUGAAUGGAUACAUAAAAAAAUAAAAUUAAAUAUUUUAUAUUUUUUUAUAUUUAUAAUUUUUAUUUUUAUUUUUAAGAGUUUUUACAUGCAACAAAUUAACCUCUUAUCAUUUGUUUCUGCUUAUAUCAUGAUUUAAAAAAAAACAAAUUUAAGAUAUUUUUCAUUAAUAAUUUAUGUGGAUUAUUGUUAAAAAAACAAUUACUUAAAUGAUUCAUGAUAUAGGACAAUUUAAACUUAAAGAAAUUGAUUCAACUUCAUAAAAAAAAUUUAAUCUUUUAAUAAUUUUUCUUCAAACUCAUACUAGAUUUUCUAACUGUAUACUUGAGGCUCUCAAAUAUUUUGUUUUUAAAUUAUCAUUAACUUGCUAUCGAAAAGUUCCUUUGGUAAAUAGUCCUUUGCAAAUGAACGAGUGUCUAAUUUACCGCCCACAUUUAAUUAAAUAAAUUUGUAGGACGUGAUAUUUUCAAGAUAGAAAUUAAUGCUUAACUUAUACUGGAUUUAAUAGCACGAGCUAAAAAUAUUUUUUUAAUAGAUGGAGUGAAUUAAGAUAUUCAUCUAAAAUAUUUUAGGUUGAAUAAUUUUCUUGAAGGAUAUUUCAUAAAAAAAUACAAAAUAAUUUUUUUAAAAUAUUUUAUGCAAAACAAAUAAUCUCUUGGACUAUGUUAGCCAUGUAAUGGAAUUCAUAUGGAAGUGAACGAACAACUUAGACAUUAUUUAUGCCUCACCACAUUUGAUUAAACUAGACUUGUAGGACACUUCAUUUUUUGUCCAGAUGGAAAUUAAUACAUGCCAGACCCAUAAGCUGGACUUUGGUUGCCAAAGACUUCGCUACAAUUUCUCGAUUAUCAUCUAGACUUAGUGCGUCUAAUUUCCAGGAUGGAGAUGUUUUGUGCGUAUAUCUCGUUGAAACCAGGGCCACCUCAAUUAUGCGGACUUUAAAAAGUUUUGACGUGUUCAUCACUCGUUUCUAGCUAUGUUUAUUAUUUUCCAGGAUUAGAUUUUGAGACUUGCUAAUAUUAUGAAGGGUUUGGAAUUGUGUUUUAGAAAAAUCCUGAUUUUUUUAAGUUUUGAAUUAUAAUAUUUUUUUAUUUUUAUAUUGUUUUGAUGUAUUGAUGUUCAAAAAUAAAUUUUUUAAAAAAAAUAUAUUAUUUUGAUAUUUUUUCAAACUAGCCAAAAUACAUUUAGAAAAAAAACAUCUACUACACUUUUAAAUAAACAUUAAGCUACAUCUAUCUUUGUAAAUUUGGUGACUAUUCAGUCCAGAGGAAAGUAUCAAUCAAUCCCUAUAAUCGUAAAGAGAUUCGAGAUUAUAAAAGCUCUAUCUCGGCACUUAAAUGGAAGAAUAUUAUAAUCCCUAUAAUCAUAUGUUUUUUAAGUGCUGUAGGAAAUGCAUCAAUUAGUUAUUAGUUGGUUAUUAGGAGCAUACCAAUCCAAGUUGAUAAAUAGUUUUCAAAUUAGUGGAUGGCCCAAAAGUUUUGGUUUCCGUCCAUCCCAUUUGGAGUCCAAAACCAUGUAUGUGGAUAUUACAAAGAAACAGAAAACGAAAGUCUAUUAAUGACUUGUUAAAAAGCCAACCUUAACUUUUCUUAGUAAAUGGCAAGCUAUAAAACCUCAAGAAAAAGAGAGUUUGGCUACGAGGGAAAGUUUAAAUCUUAACCUUUUCUGCCUUAAUCAUCAGUGAUUGAAGAUCUAAAUAGGAUAAACUUUUAGUAUGUUAUUCUUGUUGGGUUUCUGAAACAUAUACAUAUAGGAAAAAUAGAAAAUUUAAAUUUUUUUUAGAAAUCUUAAAAAGUCUCAUUAGAAAAAUCUAAGAUUGUUUAAAGUUUAUGAGAAGAUUACCUGAAGAUUUGAAUUUCUUUCGACUUGGAAUAUAUGCUUUAAGGUUGAGUUAUCGCAAACUACAAACUUUUCAGUUGUCUAGCCUCUAAAGUUAAUCCACACGAACCAUUAGUGAUAAAUCUCUUAAACCUUUUCAGAAGAGAGAUUGUUAUACCUUAAAGUAAUAGCUCUUUUCUUUUAUGUUUUAGGUAUUUCAAUACUAUAUUCUACUCACUUUUUUAACAAUUCACGUGAAAUAAGAGGUAUAUUUUUCUAUUUAUAGGGAAAACUAAAAACCAUAUAAAUUAUAAAAUAUCAAUUUGCCUUUUAAAUAAUAUAUAUAUAUAUAUAUUAUUUUAGACUAAUUUUAGAAAUUUAUUCAAUCAAGUCCCAACUUGAUUUUUUUAGGUCUAGAAUUGUAAUUUCAUGUAUAAAUUACACUUCAGUCAUCAAUUUCUAAAACUUAUUUAUAAUUAAGUCAACUUGAUUAAUCAUAUCAUUUUAAUUUCUAACCAAUGGUGUGAAAUCAUAUUUGUUCAUCAAUAAUGUUCUGAUUUAUACAUUAGUAUGAAAUGUGACUACUAUAUCAAAUCAUAUUUGUUCUCAACAUCAUAGUCAUUAAUUCUUUGAAUAAAAUUUAAAACUCUUUACAAAUCUCAUUCCACCUUAUGCAAGGAUCUAUAAUCAAUAUUAUUUAAGAACAAAUAUAAUAUUUUUUCUAAUUCAUCAAGGAUGAUGAAUUCUUUCUUAAUUACCUAAAUGCCUUCAUUUACUCCAAAUAUCUGCCUGUUUGUUACCCUUUGUUGUAACCCAAUUUUGGAUUCACCAAGAUUUUCUUGAAUGUUAUUUUAUUUCUAUUAUUAUUUAUAAAAAUCCAAAAAAAUUAAGAAAAAGUUUAAAAUUAAAAAAUAUAUUUUUCUCGAGUCAACCGCAUCUUUCCAUCAAAACCAAGUCCACCGGGUCAAACCAUGUCAACCGGGAAAAAAAAAAGAGUUUUCGUGACAUUUCGGGUCAAAACCGUCAUUUUUUAUAAAAACCGAUUUCACCAGGUCAAACCAUGUCGACCAGGGUAAAAAAUGAGUUUUUAUGACGUUUCGGGUCAAAACCGUCAUUUCCGGUCAAAACCGUCAUUUUUUAUCAAAAUUGUGUUAAACGGGUCAAACCAUGUCGACUAGGGUAAAAAAUGAGUUUUUAUGACGUUUCGGGUCAAAACCGUCAUUUUUCAUAAAAACCGAUUUCACCGGGUCAAUACGGGUCAAACCAUGUCGACUAGGGUAAAAAAUGAGUUUUCAUGACGUUUCGGGUCAAAACCGUCAUUUUCGGGUCAAACCAUUAUUUUUCGGUCAAAACCCGGUUCACCAUGUUGAUACCCAUCAAAUAUUUUUUACUUAAUCCUAAUGGAUAAAUUGAAAGCAAAUUCCUUACUUAAUCCUAAUGGAUAAAUUCCUUACUGCUGCAAAACGAAAUGGGAUUUGAAAUGUUGCAGUAUCUACUAAAACCUCAGUUCAGUUAAGUGUAUAUGAGAGUGUGGUAGUAGUUAAUUUUCAAAGUAUUCUUCAUAUCAAAAUACAUUAAAAUAAUUUUUUAUUUUAUUUUUUAAAAAUUAUUUUUGAUAUUAGCAUAUCAAAAUGAUUUGAAAAUAUCAAAAAAAUAUUAAUUUGAAAUAAAAAAAAUAAAAAAUUUUCAAACCUUUUUAAAAACGCUUUCAAAAUACAAUGUUGAACGCAUCAUCGGAGACCAAUAGAGAAAAUAGAUUGGUCAACAAAGUUUGCACUAAUAAGUUGCCGAUCGAGAAACCAGAAGUUGGAAAAAAUUAUAUAUACUCUUGCUAUUAAGAUGUGCUAAAAACAUCAUAGUGUGUUUUGUAUUUGUAAAAUUUGUUCGUAUUUUUUUUUUAUCUUGGUCUAGUUAUUUCUGUAACCCUUAAUUUAGAAGAGAAACCUAUUAAAGCACAAACCACAUUUUCAAAAGCAAAAAAAUACAUGUUUUUUUUGGUUGGAUAAAAAAAAAGAAAACCACACCUCCAAACCAAACACCCUUUUAAAUCCUAAAAGAUAGUUUUGUAUUAAGAAAAUAUCUUUAAGUAAAAAAUACAGGUUUUAUUUAUUUUUUUUCUAUUCAUUAUAUUUUCUUACAACAGGUGGAAGACUUGGUUUUGUUUUUAAAAAAAAAAUUUAGAAAUGAGAUUUUUGAAUUUAUACUUAAUUAGAAAUAUAAAUGUCUGGCCGCCCAGAUGAUUGUCCUACUAAAUAUUAAUACUAUAGCACUGUGAAGAGAUCUUUGAUUUUUAAUCUCUUUCGAUUUUAUAAACUCUGAUUUUUUACGUUUUGCUAAUCAAAACGGUCUCUUGAAGUUUUCACAUUAUCGCCUAUUACAACUUUCAAAACUCCAUUCUUAAUUCUAAUUCUAAAAAAAUUUAAUUUCUUUUUCAAAUUAAUUUUUUUAUAUUUUAAAAUUAUUUUAAUAGCUAAUGUCAAAAAUAAAUUUAAAAAAAUAAAAAAUAUAUUGUUUUAAUAUAAUAUUUUAAAAAAUACAUUAAAAAACAAUUUCUACGCUACUAUCGAACAUAUAAUAUACUUACUUUAAUGUACUUACUGGCAUUCACCUGGAAUUUACUUGUAAUAUCUCUCGUAUCCAAGAUUUUUGAAUUUAUACUUAACCAGAAAAAAUGUUUGUCAAACAGAUGAUUGUAAGGUGGAAGACUUGUUGAUAUCAUUAAUUUGGCUAAAACAAAUUAAUUGGUUAUUUGAUAUCCACCAAAUGAUCAGAGCAGAUUUGACUGGAAAAAAUGGUUAUGCACUUUCCGCAUUUAAUUUCCAGGAUGGAGAUGUUUUAUGCGUAUCUCGUUGAAACCAAGGCCACCUCAAUUAUGACGAUUUCAAAAAGUUUUGACAUGUUAAUCACUCGUUUCUAGCUAUGUUUAUUAUUUUCCAGGAUUAGAUUUUGAGACUUGCCAAUAUUAUGAAGUGGUUGGAAUUGUGGUUGGAUUUUGCUUUGAAAUUUUUUGAUUUUUUUAAGCUUUGAAUUAUUAUAAUUUUUUGUAUCUGUAUUGUUUUGAAAUAUUAAUGUAAAAAAUAAUUUUUUUAAAAUAAAAAGUAUAUUAUUUUGAUAUUUUUCUAAGUAAAAAAACAUUUUAAAAAGCAACAACUACUAUACUUUAAAAUAAACAAACAUUAAAAAUACAUCUAUUUUUAUAAAAUCGAUGACUGUACAGUCUAGAGGAAAGUAUCAAUCAAUCCAUAAAAUCAAAAAGAAAUUCGACAUUAUGUCUUACGUUUUUUAAGUGCUUAAGGAACUGCAUCAAUUAGUUAAAAUAAGAUCCACGCAACCACUUGUUAUUAGUUGGUUAUUAGAAGCAUACUAAUCCAAGUUUACAAAUAGUUUUCAAAUUAUUUGAUCACCCAAAAGUGUUGGGUCUACGUCCAUCCCAUUUGGAGUUUGAAGAAAACAUUAACCCAAAAGCGAUCACGUCCCAAUGCUUUAGUCAAGAUAUAUCUGCCAAGUGAAAUUGAGUUGAAACAUAUUAUGCAGCAAUUAUGCCAGAUUGUAAGUGCUUAUGAAUAAAAUAGCAGUCGAUCUCAAUGUGUUUAGUGCACUCAUGAAAAAUAAGAUUAUCAGCAAUGAGUAAAGCUAAUUGAUUAUCACAGUGCAAAAGCAUUGAUUGAGAAUGAGGCAAAGAUAGAUCAGCAAGCAAACUACAUAACCAUAUCAGCUCACUAAUGGUAGCAGCCAUACAACGAUAUUUUGAUUCUGCAGAGAAACGUGACACUGUGGGUUGCUUCUUGGAUUUUUAAGAUAUAGGAGCAUUACUAAGAAAAGUGUAAUAACAUGUAAUAGAUCGUCAAGUCAUGAGACAACUUGCCUAGUUGAAAUCACAAUAAGCUUUGAUGUGAAAAUCACUAUUUGAAGGAAAAAAAGACCUUAACUAGGAGAACUCUUCCAAUAACGAAGUACAUAAUAGGCAGCAUCAAGAUAUGGAUGACAAGGUUUUUGCAUGAAUUGACUGAGAAGUUGUACUGCAUAAGUGAUAUCAGGCUGAGUAAAAAGUGAAUGAUCAUUGCAUGAUUGUGCAAAGCCAAAUUUCCUCAAUGACAAAGAGAACUUUUCAAACCAUUGAUAAUGAGCCUGUUUCAGCCCAUAUACAAAUAUUUAUGGAGCCGACAUACAUGAGUAUCACCUAGUGAAAGAUAGCUUGGGGGAGGAAACAUGUAGACUUCUUCAUGCAACUCGCCAUGAAGGAAUGCAUAAUUCACAUCUAAUUGAUGUAACUCUUAAUUUUUAGCAACAAUAACAGCCAAGGUUUUGUUUUUUCAAUUGGAAUGGAAUGUUUCAGUUCCGAAGUGUUUCAGUUCCGAACUGUUCAUAUAUAUAUAUAUAUAUAUAUAUAUAUAUUCAACAAACAUAAUUCAAAUUCAAGAUAAAUUAAUUAUAAAUUAUGCAAUACAAACACAAUGCCAAACAAAUAUAAUUUCAAAAUUUAAAAUAUUUCUAAAUAGUCAAGAUUAAAUAGAUCUUUAACUUAAAGUAAUUCAACUUAAAAAAAAUAUCAAAAUAUUAUGAAAGUAAAAUGUUUUAACAAAAAUAUUUUAAAUAUAAAGUUAGGUCAAUGUUAUCAGGUAGCUAAUGGAAUCUAAAGCAUCCCUUGUUUUGCUCAAAUUCAUAUAAACUAUAAACAUGAAAAAAAACAACAUGAAUAUAAACCAUAUAUAUUAGUGAUAAAUCUAAUUUUAAAAAAUUAAUAUCAUUGUUAAUGAAAAUAGUAAUAAUAAUUUUCAAUAUUAUUAUUAAUAUCAUUGCUAUUGAAAAUAGUAAUGAAAAAGAGCUUUUUAUAAUCGGGUGGUUUAGUUAAUGAAAUUGAGCAAGGUUCAAUUUGAUUCAAUAGCUUUUCAAGAGCAGAAUGAAACAUAUGGAAUGAAACCAGAACGUUUCGGGUGGAAUUUAGCCGAAAAAUCCGGAACGGACCGAGAUUUAAAAUGAGAUGAAAUUUGUUCCGUUUUUUGAAUUGGUAUGGAAUGUUUCGGCCAUUCCGGGCGGAACGGAAUGGAAUUGACAACCUUGAUAACAACUAAUAAACAUAUGACAGUGGUUAAUUUUGCAAUAGGCGCAAAGGUUUUGGUAAAAUCCAAACUUUCAAUAUGAGUAUAUCUUUGGCCUAUCAAACACACUUUAUAGCGCUCAAUAGAAUCAUCUGACUUGUAUUUCAUUUUAUAUAUCCAACGAGCACCAACUGGUUUCUUCUUUGAAGGUAAUGGCACUAAACUCCAAGUAUAACUUUCCUUUAGAGAAAAAUCAGCAAAACAUCUAGCUAAUUUUCAGAGCAUGAUUGUAGCCUAAGUCUUAGAGAUUUACAGAUACUGAUAUAUAAGGUAACGGAUAUUCAACUAUAUAAGGUAACAAAUAUGCAAAUAAUAUCUUCAAGAGAGUCCAAAAUCAUGUUUGUUCUCAACAUCAUAGUCAUUAAUUAUUUGAAUAAGAUUUAAAACUCUUUACAAAUCUCAUUCCACCUUGCACAAGGAUCUACAAUCAAUAUUAUUUAAGAACGAAUGAAAUAUUCUAAUUCACCAAGCGUGAUGAACCCUCUAUUGAUUACUUAAAGACCUUCAUAUAGUUUAUGUUAUAUGCAAUAUCUAUCCAUUUGUUACCCUUGAUUAGGACAACAUAUAGCAAUAUCAAAAUAUAACACUUCCUAUAUUAGAUAACUUAAUGUUCUCAAGUUUAAAGAUCACUUACACAACCGUCACAUGAGUCUUUCCAUAGACACAUGUGAUCUCUCCAUAUGAAAUUCUCAUGUGAGUCAAUUCAAUGUACAAGUCAUCUGACAAGUACCUAUAUAUUAGUUCUAGUUACCCUCAUAUCUCAGUUUAUGAGAAUAAUUGUUUCAUUUCAUGAAGAUAAGAACAUAAUGUGUCGCACCCUCACAAGAGCGCGGCAUCGCGACAACCCUCCCUAGGAGUGAGGAAUCAUGUUGGGGUCUUUGUUUUAUGAAUAAGAGAGUUGUCACCUAGUAUUAUGGUCACUAGGAACCCUGAUUGGUCUUUAGAGAUUCUAAGGUAUGGGACUGGUUGCAUAAAGAGAAGGUUUUAGCACCCCUAUUAUGCUCUACCUAAGGUAAGCUGCUUGGUGUUUGGUUUGCAUUAUAAUUGUUAUGGUGUUGAUGUUCUCUAAUCCCAUCAGUUUUCCUAUGAUAAAUGUGUUACGAUGAACAAACUUGGGCUUAAAGUCUAAAAAGAAAGAACCCUUGGCCAAUGUAGAUCAUACCUUAGGUACGUUUACAAAGUACCAAGGAGAACCAAUGCAGAUCUCUUGAAAUCUGUGUUUGAUUCAAACUAAAUUUACAACUCGUGGAUUAGGAGACAACUAAGAUAGAAGUCCAAGGAGAUUCGAUGUGCUUAAAAAUUCAUAUUUCCCUUAGUAUUUCAAGUGUUCGUGAGUCGUAAAUCACAAGGAAGAGAAACAAAAAAAAAAAAAACUAAGUUAGAAAUCUAAGGAAAUUCAAUAUGCUUUAAAAGCCCAUUUUUGCCUUAGUAUUUCAUACUUUCAUGACUCAUAAAACGUAGAACAAAAAUUAAAAUAUCCCCAAUUAUAAGUGAGGUUUCUUUCAAGAACGUGUAAUUAAAUUGUUCUAAAUAAAAUUUUGGGCAUAAAAUGUACCCUUAUGUUAAAAAUGAACAAGUUGUAUUACCCUCAACAAUAUUUUGGUCAUUUACCUUUCAUAGGUUUCUUUUUCCUUAUAUUAUUAAAGGAUAAUGAUUUAUUAUUCCUAGAAAAAUAUUUUUGAUAUUAACCACUUGGGGUUUCUUUAUCCAAAUAUUAACAGUGAAUAAUAGAUGAAUUCCCCCAAAAUAAGAUUUUUAUAUUUUUAGAAUAUUGGCCAACACCCUUUGGAAUUUACAAACAUGUUGUAAAAUCCAAAAUGCAACAAAAUAAUUUUUGUGUUUAAGAAAUCUAUGUUAAAACACACUUUCUUUUAAAUUCUAAAUAUUUGUUUUUUUAAGACAUGUUCAAAAUACGUUAGGAUAUUGGCCGUAUACAACACACAAGAAAAUGUUGUUUUUUUUUUGUUUUUUAGACACACACACACACACACAUAUAUAUAUAUAUAUUUGCAACAUUUUGUAGAAAAUCCAGUAUUUUAAUGUCAUAUUUGUAUUUCUAGAAUAUAAAAAUACAAACCAGAAAAUAAAUACACGAGAACCAACAAUCUCACUCGUUUUGUUUUUUGGAGUUGGGUCCAACAUGGCCCAUGUGGUUGGGCUAAACCUAGCAGGCAUAGCCGGGUCACUUACCCAAACCAGUGACCCGACUGGACACAAGAGGCACGCGUGAGUUUCCUCACGCGUGCAUUUCUCAGUUACUGUUCAAGUGAAUUAUAAUUCACUUGAACAACAAACACAAAGGCAUGCACAAUAACUAUGUAAUUAAAAUGCAAAGUGAAAGGAAUGCAUGGAAACUUACCUGGCACUAAGACGGGCAAGACGAUGACACUGAAGCUUCUGCACACGGCCGGUGGUCACUGGUUUUGGAGAUAAAAAAACAAUGGCCACGUUGGUUUUGGCAUGUUUUUUCUCUUCUACUGAUGCUCUCUCUAGAGAUGGUGAAGAUGAUGGCGAUGAAGGGGUGGUGUGCUGGUUGAAUUGACACCUUUGCCUCUAUGUUUUUUUCUUGCUUUCGACUGUGUUGUUCUAUUGCCUACCUCUUUCUCCCUUCUUCUUUCUGUUUUCUUAUCUUUUCUUUCCCUUUUCUCUGUUAUGUUUUCCUUUUCCUUUCUUUCAUAGUAACGAAAGGAUGAAAUAAAGAAAAAACUCUUUGCUCUCCCCUGUUCUCUGUGUUUUUUCUCUCCUCUCCAUAUCUCUUCUUUUUCGUUUCCCUGCUUUUUUUUUUCAUCCCCCUUUUUGUUUGUUAGGUCAGCAGAGGAGGUAUAUAUAUAGCAUAUACAUAGCUUUGUUUAGGAAAGAUUCAAUGCACUGACCUAGAAUGUAAAUCUCGGUUGAUUUACAAUCAAAUAAAACCAAAAUAUUCUUAUUCAUAUUCUGAUGAUUCCAGUAAUUACUUUCCUCAUUAACACAUCAUCCCAACCAUCUGUGUUAAGGAUAAAAUCCUAGCCAUUAGAUGAAAAUACUCUGUGUUAAGGUUCUUCUCCCUUGUCUCAUUUUCAUUUUUCUUUCCUGUCUUAACAUUUGGCUUGACCUUGAUGAAGAUACUUUGUUCGAUAAAAUGUCAAAGUUGAUAUUAGCGUUUUUUGGAUUGUAUUACUUUCAUUGAGUUUGACUUUACUGUUCAUUUUAGGAAGGCCUAUCACCAUAUUUUUCUCUUACAGAGUCUUCAAGCCAUUGAAAUUGAGAUGUUCAUAACGAAAAUGCCAUAACCAUGUUGAGUCAUGCACUUUUGUAGAGAGACAUGUUUGAACGUUGUCCUCCAUGUAUAGUGGAAACAUGCGAUUGCUUGUCAUUCUUGCUUCAGCAAUUAAGCCUUUCCUUGGAUGAUGAAUUUUACAAUAACCUGCUUGAAUGAUUAUUGUAUAUCCCUUCUCUUGUAAUUGACCCAUGCUAAUAAGCUUACUCUUCAGUUCUGGAAUAUAAAAGACACUAGAAAUUGUUUGCAUUGUGUUGUCUUUCAUAUGAAAUUUGAUAUUCCCCUUCCCCAUGACAUAGAUGCAUGAAUUAUUUCCAAGCUUCAUAGUAUCUUUGUAAGUUUCAUCCAAGUCUGAAAAUAAUGUCUUAUUUCAACACAUGUGAUUGCUACAACCCAAAUCCAAAUACCACUUAUCUGAUUGGAGUUCAUCUUUGUCAAGAUAUGCCAUUAAAAGCAUUUCUUCUUUUGUCUCUACAAGAAUUGCCUUCUCAUCCGUUUAUGUGCAUUCAUAUUGAUAGUGCCCAUAUUUAUGAUAAUGAUAACACUCAACUCUGGACUUGUCAAAUGGUCUCUGGUCAUUUGUGCGUCCUCUGCCUCGACCUCUACUUUCUCGACCCCAACCACGACUUCUACCAUAUCCCUUUGAAAAUUCACUACCAUGCAUUGUCACCUUCAGAACUUGUUCUUCAGGUAAGUUGCUCACCAUUCGCUGCUCAUGCACCAACAACAAGCUCUGCAACUCAUCAAUUGAAACCUCAUCAAUGUCAUGUGCCUCUUCAAUUGAACAGACUACAUAGUUGAAUUUUGCGGACAUUGAUAGAAGUGUUGCUACCCAUUUUUUGACCCAUGUUUUUGAUAUAUUUUCAAAAAAUCCAAAAAAUAGAGAAAAAACAAUGAAAAUCCAAAAAAUAUGUUUUUAAUAUAUUUUCGUCAUUUUAGCAUUUGCAACGUCGUCUGAAAAAGAAUUUAAAUUUUUAAAAGAUUUUCAAACGCGUCCGACUUUUCACGCGUCAUUUUUAAAUCAUUGAUUUUCCUCAUUGAGUCGACGUUGAUAUUGCUCGUUUUCAAAAAAAUACAAAAAAAUAAGUAAAAUCAAAAUUUACAAAAAGAAAGAAGUUGAGGGACCAAGUUGAAAAACCUAGCAAAAGUUUUCCUAUAAAUACCAUGCUACACAGAUUUUUUAGGGGGGGUAAUUUUGAGAACAUCAGAAAAAAUACAAAACCUAAACCUAAACCCAUUUUUUUUAGGGCAGCCUCCAGCCCCCACCGGGGAUUUUUUUUCUCCUCUCUCAAUGGACUGCCAGCCUCUUUUCUCCGUCCAUCACCCACCUCUCCUUCAUUAUUUUUUUGGCAUCUCCCCUGCACAAGCAGCCGCAACCCCCCCACCUUUGAUUUUUCUCUUCUCCCUUAAACCGGCCUAAACAGCAGCCCCCGCUGGAAUCUUCAUCUUCUUCCUCAGCCCUUGCACAGCCCACCGUCCCUCUCCUCUCUCAGCCACAAACCGAACAGCGCCCCCUGGCCUCGUUUGUUCUCCAGCCGCCGCGAGACAAAUCUUCCCCUCUCAGCCGUUUCUUCUCCAACCGGCCGGACACUCUCUCCCUCACUGCAAACUGUCAGCCUUUCCCUCUCCAGCCGCCUCUCACUGGGCAAAGAAACCAGCCGCCCCUCCCAUCUCCUAUUGGUCUCUCCAUCUUCUUGGCAGAGGAAAGAACCAACCGGACCGGCCUCCAUCGAAACCCUUCAGCAACCGGCCCGCCUCCGACUCAAACUCGUGUAGCAAAUCUUGACCGAGAUCCAGCCGCAACGGUGCCGUCCGAAGAUCCAGCAACCAGCAGAGCCACGCCUCCCCCCCUGCGCCUCUGUCAUCAGGCCAUAGAUGCCCUGAACUCAGAGCCAGCGACCGCCUGUAAAGGAGGAGAUCUGCAGUGGAAACAGAUUUGAAUGGAAGGUAGAAGGGAGCCGAUUUGAAAACCAAAUUAAAACAGAUUUGCUUGUUGCGAUUUUUGGGUGAUUUGCAGGUAACGGCGUUGCUCACAGCCGACUGGAGGGUGAAGAGGGAAAGAAGCCAUUACGGAUCUCCCCACGCCUCUGGAUUUCACGGCGGCGCGUGGGAGGACGCGCCGCCACUGUUCAUUCCGUGUCAGAAGGCCUUCAAUGCAAUUUCGGGAGUUUUAUGGACUAUUUUGUAAUUUUGAAAUUAAUUAAUGUAAUGUUUAUUUAUUUGUUUUGAUUUUGAAAUUUGUAUUUGUAUUGUGGAUGUAAAAGAAAAGAAAAAGAAAAGAAACAAAAAAAAUAGUGAAAGUGUAUGUGUUGUUUGUAUUUGUUUUAUUUUUUAUAUAUAUUUUUUUAAUGAUAAAAUUGCAGAUAUUAAAGAAUUAAUUUAAUAUUUUGAUUGGAUCACGGUUAAGAAUUAUUAACUUAUACGUAAGUUAUAUUUCUAAUUUCCGAUGAAAAGAAAAUUAUUAAAACUUCUUUAACACAUCAAAUCCGCGAAGCAGCUUACCUCAAGUAGGGUGCGUUAGGGGUGCUAAUACCUUCCCUAACCACAACCAGUCCCUUACCCACGAAUCUCUGACAAGACCAGUAUAAGUUACUAGGUGGCGACUCCAAAGAACCAAAUCAGCAAAACAACAACGAUAAAAAUCGCCAGCCGAUGUCGCGCGCCGUAUUUUUUUGGGGUGCGACAGAAUGGCGACUCCACUGGGGAAGGUACUGUUUUUGACAUUAUUGGACUAAGCUUUGUGUAUUUGAUGUGUUUAAGCUUUUGCAUUUUCAUCUUUUUUGUUAAUAUUUAUUUCCAUGCAUUUUAUAGAAUUGUCUCAUGCAUCACCUGUAUUUAUUUUUGAAAGAAAACACAAGCUUCUAGGUUAAGUGGGGAAUUAACGAUUUACCCUAAGACUAUUGGUCAGGGUUUAAAUGCGUGAAACACCCAACUCAUAUCUGAGUGCCUGCUUGGUAAUGGUGGGUAUACGUGCCUUAACCAUUCCUUGCAACACCCCCAUACUGUCUUUACGAAGAACGUCACUGGGCAGAUAUGAGACCCUUUUUGAGACCAGAUAGAAAACCUACCCAUGUUCACAUAAUGAAUAGAACAUGUCCUUAGGUUGUAUGUGCUAUCGUUAUUUGCAUAAGGGCAAACUCUUCUUGAAGCAUCUUGAACUCAAGACUUGUGGGUGACACAUUGGCCGUCACUCCGAAAAUUUUCAUUGUAGAGUUUGGGCAAAAAUCACGAUUCUUGUUCCAUCAUACAAGAGUUACGACCAUAUUGUCACCCCUCGAAGGGUGAGUUCGUCAUAUAGAUUACAUGUUCAUACAUUUAUCAUGCAUGAACCGGGUUGAAAGGUAGGUCCCCUGUACAAGUUGUGCUGCACGUGAUUGAAAAAAGAUGAGGGAAAUGAACAAAGGAGUCAGAUAUAGGCUCAUUAUCAGAUUAAGGUUGAGAGCAUCAAGGGCGAAGUAGUUGAACUCAGAUCCGCUCGAACAAGUGUUGAGCAUCAAAUGGAAGGAGAGUGUCUGCACAGUCUUCUGCGGGAACACUGCUUGUUCAUGUCCAAUUGAAGUUGUAUCUCUCCUUUUCAGUCCUGAACAACAGCAACAAUGCCUUCAGUCAUCAACUAAUGACAACUCUGAUUCUUGUCCAGUUGCACUGUUAAGUGUUCAUCGCCUCCACAUCAUCUAAUGGAACCAAACGACUACUAGCCUCCUGUACAUGGUGCAUUAGUCUUCUUUGAAGUUACCCCAAUUAUGAGCUCAAUUCCAUUUCGGCAUCAUAAGAUAUUGGUCUGAAAAACCAUGAUUAAACACUGAACUUCUACGUGGUAGAGCUCUCUUUGUAGAGAUUUAUUUAUGGAUCUGCCAAGGGGAAAUACAAAAGGGGAUAUAUUAAUUUCAGAUGCUUUGAAACUUUUUCCCACUAGUGGCACGAGCAAAACUUUGUAGUAGACAGAGGAGUCAGGCCUGGUCUGAAAAUAUGAGUAGUCAUCGAACUUCAACGUGGCAUAGCUCUCUCUACAAAAAUCUGUGUAUGAUGCUGCAAGUUGAGAGUGCAAGAGGAGAUUUAGUAGACAGAGGAGUCAGGCCUGGUCUGAAAAUAUGAGUAGUCGUCGAACUUCAACGUGGCAGAGCUCUCUCUAUAAAAAUCUAUCUAUGAUGCUGCAAGUUGAGAGUGCAAGAGGGGAUUUACUAAUUGCAUAUGCUACAAAUAUUUCUCUCAUCAGUUUUAGCACGAAGACACUGUAGCAGGUUGAAGAGCCAGACUUAGGUCUCUCGGCAACAAUCUGUUUGUGGAUAUGUAAGUGGGAAAUCCAAGAAGUGAUGCAGUGGUUUCAGAUUGUCCAUAAUUUUCUCCUUCCAGUAUUGGCAUUAAAACGCAAAAGUGGUUGUUUGCUACACCGUUAGUGAGGAAUAAAAGAGGAAAUAAAAGAGUUUAAGAUUCAUCAGGUUUUUGACAAACGUGGGAUUCCACACUCUUUUGUUUUUUAUGCGCUGCCAAGAUUUACCUAGCUAUGGAGGGGUUUCCAACAAUCCUAAAACAACAACAUUGGAAGAUUGACAUGAUGUUGUGAGGAUUGCCGAGGGAAUUGAACAAGUUAUGAAGAGGGGAAAGACUGAAGUUCUGCCAAGAAUUCCAGAACAAUGAUGAGAGAUGAAUCCAAAGAAGACUUUGACGGUGGUAUAUGGUCUAGCCAAGUGUCGUUGUAUCAUCGGCUACUCCAAAUGUCUUUGCCAAAGAUAGACAUUCUUUUUCCAUUUGGGUUUAUUUACCAGAAUCUGCCAAAUUCUAGACUUUUGCUAGACGCCGACAGAUCCCAUGCAACCACCAAUUUCUAGGUGGUAUAAUCCAGAUAAAAGAUGUGAUGUCAUGGUGGGGUCCUCAACCAUUUCAAGUGAACAGUUUCAAGAAUUGCAAGAAUUGAGUCCGAAAGUUAGUGAGCAAGAGACAAGUGGAGUCGGUGAAGGAGGUUGUCAUUGGCUAUAUUGUCCCCUGAACAUCUUCAGAAUGACAUGUUGAUCGAAAGUGCUUGGCAAAACACAGAUAUAGCCAGAACAACUAAUUCAAGAAUGGUGAUGAACGGCCAAUCAUAUUGUUAUGGAAUUUUGCAUUUUAGUUUUGAGAUCACAUCUCAUCCUUCAACGAAACAUGCCUUGCUUUUAUCUCUUUGUUGUUUUGAAAUCAACAGAUGUUUAGCAUUUUUUCUAACAAAAUAUUUUGAUCAAACUCCAACAUGCGAUAAAGGUUAAUCAAUCCUGAUGAUUAAAAGUGUUUUGAUUACAGAAAUGGCUUGAUGCUUAUUGAAAUGACAUGAGGUGACCAAAAAAAUUUUGAGCUCACACACAAAAUUGAACCACACAUCAUAUAGCUAAGUUUUAGCAGUAUGCAUAUUGACAUGUAGUGGAUUCAGUAGCUAUGGACUCGUGAAUUAUUGACUCUUAUAAGUCUAAAUCAUUACACUGGAUGAGGUCAAAAUUUAUCGGUUUUAACUGACUUUGCUUGAAAUGAGAAAAGGCCAUCUUUGAUAUCCCUUCACUUUCUAAAGAUUAUAUCCCUUGUAGUCCCUUUUUUGAGCUGGAUAGAAUAUUUUUCAUAAAAACCCUGAUUAGGAUCACACCCCACACUGGGGGCAAAUGAGAAAUAUUUUGGAGACACUGAUAAAAUCAAUGGAUCAAGGAAGGCUUAGAAUAAAAGUUCAAUGAUUGAGAGAGAGCUAGAAGAAGACACAUAGACUAGGGGCAUAUAAGAAAGUUUUGAGGAAGGCUAUGAUGAAAAAAAAAAAAAAGAAUGAAAAAGAAGUUGAAAUUGCCUUCACUUAAAGACAAGUCAAAGAUAAAGGAAGGAGAACGCCUAUCAAGUCUAUGAAUAGCAAAAGAAAUUUCAAUCAAAGAAAGGCACAACGAAAGUCAAUGCUAGAAAAAAAGACUAAGCUAUAAACGUGACUUUUGGUAUCCAUUAUAAAGCCUAUGAUGUCAUCAGAUGAUUAAGGUUGGUUAUUCAUCAAGGAAAGGGGGAUUUGCAUUGACUUAUGUUAAGAAAAGUCUGAACUGUGAGGUUAACAAGGUUAUAUGUCGUUUCCUCUUAAAGACAACAAUAGAAAAGAGUUGAUGAAUAGUUGAUGUUGAUCCUAGGUCUUUGAAACCCUCAAACACCUUUUGAGCCUUUGAAAUUCCUUUCUUUCAUAGCCAUGAACCAUAGCCUGCAUUACGUGUUUUUAAAAGCCCUUUUUAAUCAAGCAAGCAACUUGAACCGAUAAAUGGCGCUCUCAAAACUUGAAGAGCUUUUCCAUAAGGGUUGUGACUUCAUGAAUUAAGCUAUUGGUUAUUAUGCAUGCUGAUAAAACAAAUAUUGAGAAAAGAAACAACCUUUCUUGAUCAAGCCUGAGCAUCUAGCCAUUUGAAAUUCACAAAAAUAUCACCUCAUCACAAACCAUAAAAAAAAAAGAAGGUAUAGCCAAAAUCAGAGUUUAAAGUGGACAAAAAGAACCAUGGGAAAGACCAUUUUAAUCUUACAACGAGUCGAUUUCUGUUUUCAAAAAUACAAGACAAUCAAAAGACUACAUUGAAUGACGUGUGUUGGAUCUUUGACCAAAGAAGCUUGAAUUUCAAAAAUACUUUUCAAAAACUGAUAUCUCUCUUAUUUCAUUUCAACAAUUAGACUUGAAUAGACAUGACCUUUGAAGUAUGAGAUUUGAUUCUAGAACAAUAAAGAUUGUCAAACAAAGAAGAACAUUUAUUGAAUUUGCGAAAUCCUUGACAUGAAAUGACAUCAACAUUUCUCGACACUCCUUGAAGUUGAGCAGCUGGGGGCAAUUCAGUGGACCUUAAGAAGGAAAACAUACAGUAUCCAGAUCAGCUGGGGGCAAAGAAAGAAUCAGAUGAUGAGUCAUCACAGUACAGGAAAGUUAUAUUCAGCAUCUGACAAUGACAAAGGAAAACCUUCUUGAGUAUAAACCGAUGAACGAACCUUCAGAUCAUAUUGGGGGCAAUGUCGUUCAAAGACAAUCCAUGACCUAGUGCACUUCAACAACAAUUGAUGAGUAAUGCUACACUAGGAGGAUAUUUUCAUAUCUUUAUCUUGGUUUAUCAUCUUCAACAUGGCUAUGACUUUAGAUCGAUGUUAUCAUAUAGUUGCAUAUGAAUGAAUGCUGGAAGGAUGCACCCCACCGAGACUGACUAUGGGACCAUUUGUUUUGAAGCUUAAAUGCACACUUCACCGCAUGAAUAUGGGUGAUAAAAUGGAUCAUUGAUGAUGCCAACGCAUUUCUUUUUACGAUCUGAUUUGACAAGCUGAAAGGAAUCCAUAGAGAAGAACAUCGAGCUUACAAUGAUGAGUUUUUUACUGCAAAGCAUGAUAUCCAUGUCUAGAUGACUUGGCUGUUCCGUGAAGGUUGGUGACCACACAUACUUGAAUGGUGUUUCAACCGAAGGCAAGUUCAUGACUGAUUAACAAACUUGAUGGGUGUUGGCAUGAUGCAGACAAUCAAUCAGAGGAUAAUUCUCAGAAGAAGCCAGAGAGAAAAUCCUUCAUGAUGAAUCAAGCAAUACCACACUUGGGGGCAGGGUCAAGCUUGAUGAACGAUGCAAGUAGUAAUUGUCAAAGACAGCCCUAGAUGGGCACUGCAUUUACAGCUGAGUGGAUGGCUAGCACAUGAAUGAGUCAAUGCAUCGGAAGAACAAAGGCACCCUAUGACGAUGGAGCAUCAAAGAGGGGGGGACCUAUAUUUCAAAUCAGGUAAGGAUGCAUGCAUAUCAUCUAAUCUCAAAAAAAAAAAAAAACCAUUUUCACAUAUUUUUGAAUUGUUAUAGGAAAAUCCUUAAUGAGAUCCAGCAAGAUGGUGGAAAGAGAAAGAAGUAUUGUGGUGAUGAUAAUAAAGAAUCGGUUUUGAUCAUGGAAUAAAAGGAUGAUGGGAUGAACCCUACCAUUAGGAAAAUCCCAAAGAAAUGAAUAGAUCAACCUUGCAACCGGGAAGCCUUGAGUUUUCAACCCUUGCAGUCAGGAAACACCGAGUUUUCAAACCCUAUGAUCGGGAAUUAUCAGGAAGCACCAAGUUUUCCAGCCCUUCUUCUUUCAUCCCCUCAGGACUUCGCCAGGUAAGUCCUAUUUUUCAUACUUGUCAUAUCACAUUCUUUCCAUCUGGGUAGGUCGCCCAUCAUAAUAAGACUGUUUUUCACAUUUUUUCCAUCUGGGUAGGUCGCCCAUCAUAAUAAGAUCGUUCUUCACAUUUUUUCCAUCUAGGUAGGUCACCCAUGACAAUGAGACCCCACUUCAUAUUUUUUCCAUUUUGGGUAGGUCACCCAUUACAAUGAGACCGCACUUCACAUUCUUUCUAUUUGGGUAGGUCGCCCAUAACAACGAGACUGCUUUUUCAUAUUUUUUCCAUCUGGGUAGGUCACCCAUUACAAUGAGACCACACCUCAUAUUUUUUCCAUUUUUGGGUAGGUCACCCAUUACAAUGAUACCAUUUUUUUUUACACAUUCUUUUGUUUCGGUGAAAUGAGGUCGCUAGAUGGGAUCUCAUGUAGCUUUGGUUAAAGGAAAUUGUCAGAUGGGAUUUCAGGUUAACCGAGUUACAUAUAUUUUCAUUACAGACCUUGGUUAUGGUUAAAAGGGAUCGGCAAAGAGAUCUCAGUUUAACCUAAUUGGAAAGGAUUUUUGGUUCUGGUUGAAGGGGAUCGGCGAAGGGAUCUCAGUUCAGUCUAACCACACAGACCUUGGUUAUGGUUAAAGGGGAUCGGCAAAGGGAUCUCAGUUUAACCUAAUUGGAAAGGAUUUUGGUUCUAGUUGAAGGGGAUCGGCGAAGGGAUCUCAGUUCAGUCUAACCACACAGACCUUGGUUAUGGUUAAAGGGGAUCGACGAAGAGAUCUCAGUUUAACCUAAUUGGAAAGGAUUUUUGGUUCUGGUUGAAGGGGAUCGGCGAAGGGAUCUCAGUUCAGUCUAACCACACAGACCUUGGUUAUGGUUAAAGGGGAUCGGCAAAGGGAUCUCAGUUUAACCUAAUUGGAAAGGAUUUUGGUUCUGGUUGAAGGGGAUCGGCGAAGGGAUCUCAGUUCAGUCUAACCACACAGACCUUGGUUAUGGUUAAAGGGGAUCGACGAAGAGAUCUCAGUUUAACCUAAUUGGAAAGGAUUUUUGGUUCUGGUUGAAGGGGAUCGGCGAAGGGAUCUCAGUUCAGUCUAACCACACAGACCUUGGUUAUGGUUAAAGGGGAUCGGUGAAGAGAUCUCAGUUUAACCUAAUUGGAAAGGAUUUUUGGUUCUAGUUGAAGGGGAUCGGCGAAGGGAUCUCAGUUCAGUCUAACCACACAGACCUUGGUUAUGGUUAAAGGGGAUCGGCAAAGGGAUCUCAGUUUAACCUAAUUGGAAAGGAUUUUUGUUCUGGUUGAAGGGGAUCGGCGAAGGGAUCUCAGUUCAGUCUAACCACACAAACCUUGGUUAUGGUUAAAGGGGAUCGGCGAAGAGAUCUCAGUUUAACCUAAUUGGAAAGGAUUUUUGGUUCUGGUUGAAGGGGAUCGGCGAAGGGAUCUCAGUUCAGUCUAACCACACAGACCUUGGUUAUGGUUAAAGGGGAUCGGCGAAGGGAUCUCAGUUUAACCUAAUUGGAAAGGAUUUUUGGUUCUGGUUGAAGGGGAUCGGCGAAGGGAUCUCAGUUCAGUCUAACCACACAGACCUUGGUUAUGGUUAAAGGGGAUCGGCGAAGAGAUCUCAGUUUAACCUUAUUGGAAAGGAUUUUGGUUCUGGUUGAAGGGGAUCGGCGAAGGGAUCUCAGUUCAGUCUAACCACACAGACCUUGGUUAUGGUUAAAGGGGAUCGGCGAAGGGAUCUCAGUUUAACCUAAUUGGAAAGGAUUUAGGUUCUGGUUGAAGGGGAUCGGCGAAAGGAUCUCAGUUCAGCUUAAAGACACAUGAUUUUGGUUCUAGUUAAAGGGGAUCGGCGAAGGGAUCUCAGUUUAGCUUAACCACUCAGAAUUUAGCUUUGGUUAAAGGAAAUCACUAGAUGGGAUUUCAGGUUGACCGAGCUACACUCCGAUUUUUGUUCUUGUUAGAUUGCCAGAUGGGAUCUCAGGUAAACCCAAUCAAAAGGGCAGGUCGCCCGUGAAAAUAGACCAGUGUGAGUGUGUGGGCCGGUCGCCCCUGAAAAUAGACGACUUUGAGUAUGUGUGGGCAGGUCGCCCGUGAAAAUAGACCAUUGUGAGUGUGUGGGCAAGUCGCCCAAGAUAAUGAAAUCAUUUUUCUUUUGUUUUCUUUACAAAGCUUACUAUGCAAAAUUUUGAGGAGUUUUGCUUCGUAAGCAUUGUAAAGAGGGUGCAUCUGUUGCUACCCAUUUUUUGACCCAUGUUUUUGAUAUAUUUUCAAAAAAUCCAAAAAAUAGAGAAAAAACAAUAAAAAUCCAAAAAAUAUGUUUUUAAUAAAUUUUCGUCAUUUUAGCAUUUUCAACGUCGACUAAAAAAAAAUUUAAAUUUUUAAAAGAUUUUCAAACGCGUCCGACUUUUCAUGCGUCAUUUUUAAAUCAUUGAUUUUCCUCAUUGAGUCGACGUUGAUAUUGCUCGUUUUCAAAAAAAUACAAAAAAAUAAGAAAAAUCAAAAUUUACAAAAAGAAAGAAGUUGAGGGAUCAAGUUGAAAAACCUAGCAAAAGUUUUCCUAUAAAUACCAUGCUACACUGAUUUUUUAGGGGGGGUAAUUUUGAGAACAUCAGAAAAAAUACAAAACCUAAACCUAAACCCAUUUUUUUAGGGCAGUCGUCAGCCCCCACCGGGGAUUUUUUUUUCUCCUCUCUCAAUCGGCUGCCAGCCUCUUUUCUCCGGCCAUCACCCACCUCUCCUUCAUUUUUUUUUUGGCAUCUCCCCUGCACAAGCAGCCGCAACCCCCCCACCUUUGAUUUUUCUCUUCUCCCUUAAACCGGCCUAAACAGCAGCCCCCGCUGGAAUCUUCAUCUUCUUCCUCAGCCCUUGCACAGCCCACCGUCCCUCUCCUCUCUCAGCCACAAACCGAACAGCGCCCCAUGGCCUCGUUUGUUCUCCAGCCGCCGCGAGACAAAUCUUCCCCUCUCAGCCGUUUCUUCUCCAACCGGCCGGACACUCUCUCCCUCACUGCAAACUGUCAGCCUUUCCCUCUCCAGCCGCCUCUCACUCGGCAAAGAAACCAGCCGCCCCUCCCAUCUCCUAUUGGUCUCUCCAUCUUCUUGGCAUAGGAAAGAACCAACCGGACCGGCCUCCACUGAAACCCUUCAGCAACCGGCCCGCCUCCGACUCAAACUCGUGUAGCAGAUCUCGACCGAGAUCCAGCCGCAACGGCGCCGUCCGAAGAUCCAGCAACCAGCAGAGCCACGCCUCCCCCCCUGCGCCUCUGUCAUCCGGCCAUAGAUGCCCUGAACUCAGAGCCAGCGACCGCCUAUAAAGGAGGAGAUCUGUAGUGGAAACAGAUUUGAAUGGAAGGUAGAAGGGAGCCGAUUUGAAAACCAAAUUAAAACAGAUUUGCUUGUUGCGAUUUUUGGGUGAUUUGCAGGUAACGGCGUUGCUCACAGCCGGCUGGAGGGUGAAGAGGGAAGGAAGCCAUUACGGAUCUCCCCACUCCUCUGGAUUUCGCGGCGGCGCGUGGGAGAACGCGUCGCCACUGUUCAUUCCGUGUCAGAAGGCCUUCAAUGCAAUUUCGGGAGUUUUAUGGACUAUUUUGUAAUUUUGAAAUUAAUUAAUGUAAUGUUUAUUUAUUUUAUUUGAUUUUGAAAUUUGUAUUUGUAUUGUGGAUGUAAAAGAAAAGAAAAAGAAAAGAAAUAAAAAAAAUAGUGAAAGUGUAUGUGUUGUUUGUAUUUGUUUUAUUUUUUAUAUAUAUUUUUUUAAUGAUAAAAUUGCAGAUAUUAAAGAAGAAUUUAAUAUUUUGAUUGUAUCACGGUUAAGAAUUAUUAACUUAUACGUAAGUGAUAUUUCUAAUUUCCGAUGAAAAGACAAUUAUUAAAACUUCUUUAACACAUCAAAUCCGCGAAGCAGCUUACCUCAAGUAGGGUGCGUUAGGGGUGCUAAUACCUUCCCUAACCACAACCAGUCCCUUACCCACGAAUCUCUGACAAGACCAGUACAUCCGGUUUCCUAGUAGCUCGCAAUCAAUUACUAGGUGGCGACUCCAAAGAACCAAAUCAGCAAAACAACAACGAUAAAAAUCGCCAGCCGAUGCCGCGCGCCGUAUUUUUUUGGGGUGCGACAAGAAGAAUCUUUUCAAUUAUUGUGACAUCCUUCAUCCUGUCACCAUGGAUUCACCUCUUAUUUGCGAUUGCAAGAGUUCUUGAAAAAUAGUCAUUGACCGACUCUCUUGUUUUCAUGUAAAGAGUCUCAAACUCUUUGCGAAGAGCUUGAAGCUGCACCCUUUUCACCUUUGCUGAGCCUUGAUACUUUUUUUUCAUAGAAUCCCAGAUCUGCUUAGAAGUCUCUUUGUGAAGAAUAGUCUCCAGAAUUGCACCAUCAAUAGCUUGGAAUAAAUAAUUUUUGGCUUUAAGAUCCUUCAACUUUUGAUCCUCUAGUGUUCUUGUUUGUGCUUCUAUCAUUGCACCUCCACUAGCUGGUUCAACAAUGCCAUGUUCUACAAGACUCCAAUACUCUUUCGACCUCAGAAAAUUCUCCAUCAACAUACUCCAAUGAUCAUAGUGACCUUCGAAACGUGGAAUUGCAGGUUGCACAUAGUUGUUCUCAUAGGCCAUCGAAUCCUGCUGCUGCAAGAAAAAAAGCUGUUGCUUUCUCAAAUCAGAUACCCCCAAUGAAGGCUUUGAUACCACUUGUUAUAAACUGAAAGCUUUAUUCAGUGUAUAACGUAGAUAGAUAUGUGGAUUCUCCUAAGGAAUAGGUAAAAACAACUAAUUUCCUAAUAUCUAGGAAUUUAUUAUGAAAACAACCAAAUAAAAACUCUUAACAAUUGAGGGGUUGCCAGAGCCCGCUCCAAAGGAAGGAACAAAACCAAUUCUUCUAUUUCCAACAUCAACUGGCAUGGCUGCUUGGUUUGCUGGUGAGCCACCACGGAUUUCAAAGGGACCAGAAUUCGAGCUGUUUUGUCUUGCCGGCAAUAUAUCCUCCCGAGGCCCUGGAGUUGAGGGAGUGAAAACCAUCCAAUCUGUUGGUGGGAGAAACCACUAGUGGUGGCUUUGAAACACUCAGAGGGGAUAAAAACACACUGUUUUAUUACAAAAUCCGAAGCUUACAAUUACACAACAAAAGCUUAAACAAUUACACGCCACACAUAUAACAUAAGCUGGGCACUCUAUUUAUACACAAAUCAAAAUACGAAAAUUCAACCUUCAAGUGUGAAGGCGGCUAGCGGCAGCAGGUGUGAAGGCGGCUGGCGGCUGCGGCUGGUGGUUGGCGGCUGGUCGGUGGCGGCUGGUCGGUGGCAGCUAGUGGUUGCCUUCCUUGACCAUUUGGGAGCUUCUGGAUUGAGUUUAUUCAAUAAAUCUCUCCUUUAAACUCAAUCGAGGGAUGUCAUGCCAAGCAUGAAUACUUCUCCCUUCAAUGCCUUAUUUUUGCUUGUACCCUUUAUCCACUAAUUUGGCUUUCGUCUUGUAGACCCUUUUGACACCUAUUGCUUUCUUCUUUUCUGGUGGUAAGUCAGCUUCAAGGUAUCAUUCUUCUCAAUGGCAUGUAUUUCUUCAUCCAUUGCUUUAAUCCAUUUCUUUCUGUGACAGCUUUAUUUAAGCUUAAUGGGUCACUAUCUGCAUGAAAACAAAACAGAGUUGUAUCUUCCAUAACCUGAGUGGUAUCGUACAACUCUUCAAGAUUCCGCAUCUUUCUUGGUCCUUCUGAUGAGGAUGCUGAUGUGGUGUUGAUGAUGAUGCUCCUGGUGUGUUCCUCCUGUUGAAUACAGGAAAUCUGUGUACCGGACUUUGUGGUUCAGCUGCUGGUAUAAACACUGGACUUUGUGGUUCAGCUGCUGGCACAAUCAGUUCUUCUACAAGUACUGUUGGUACUUCUUCACCUUCAAGGAUCAAAUCAAGAUUGAUCCAUUUGAUUGCUUCUUGAUCACCAUUCAUUCCCAAGAUUUAUCUUCUUCAAAGAUAACAUCUCUACUUGUGAUUACUUUCUUCGUGAUAGGAUUAUACAGCCUGUAUCCCAUCCUUCUUUCACCAUAUCCGACAAAGAUGCAUUUCUCGCUCUUAUCAUCGAGCUUUCUCCUUCUUGCAUCUGGGAUCUUUGCAUAUGCCACACAACCAAAGACUCGUAGAUGAGUAACACUUGGUUUGUGACCACUCCAUGCUUCUUCUGGAGUGACUCCUUGCAAACUUCUGGUCGGGCAGCGAUUCAACAGAUACACUGCACAUGAUACAGCUUCAGCCCAGUAUUGCUUGGGCAGCUUCUUUGCUUUGAGCAAACUUCUAGCCAUGUCAAGAAUCGUGCGAUUCUUCCUUUCUGCUACACCGUUCAGCUGUGGUGUAUAAGCUGGUGUUGUCUGAUGUCUGAUGCCUUGUUGUGUACAAUAGGCUUCAAAGUCAUUGGCUGUAUAUUCUCCACCUUGAUCAGAUCUCACUGUUCUGAUCGUAUAACCAGUUUGCUUCUCCACAAUUGCUUUAAAAUCUUUAAAACAAUUGAAUACUUCUGACUUCCUCUUCAAAAGUAUAUCCACGUCUUUCUACUAAAAUCAUCAGUAAAAGUGAGGAAGUACCUAUUUUGUCCAGUCGACAUAGGCGUAUUGGGCCACACACAUCUGUGUGUACUAACUCCAGUGGCCUCUUUGCUCUCCAGUUGACUUCUUUGGCAAAACUGGAUCUGUGAUGUUUGCUGAGGACACAACUUCACAGACUUCAUCUGGAUGAUCAAUGUGAGGCAAACCUUUGACCAUCUUCUUGCUUGCUAGCAUCUUCAACUUGUGAAAUUCAGAUGUCCAAGCCUCAGGUGCCAAAGCCAUUCUUCACUGUUGGUGAUGGCACUCAAACACCUUGUUGCAUCAUACUGGAUGUUCAAAGGAAACAUCCUAUUCUUGGACAUUUUCACGUAGGCCAUUAAUCUCCCAUUGUUGUCUCUAAUUGUCAGAUGACAAUUCUUCGAGUAAAAACUAUAUCCUCUCUCCAAAAGUUGACCUAAGCUGAUCAGGUUCUGCUUUAUGGCUGGGACAUAAUACACAUCGGCGAUGUAGCUGGAAUCGCCAUUCUUCAACUUGACUGGAUGCUGCCUUUACCUUUGAAUGGAACCUUUGUGGUAUCUCCAAAAGUAACUAGACCUUGCUUGGUCUCAUCUAGAUCACCAAAUAACUCUCGGUAGCCGCACAUGUGAUUGCUGGCUCCAGUAUCUAGAUACCAUAUAUUUUCUUGUUUCUCGCCAAGUUCUUGUUGGACAAGAAAUGCAGAUGCUUCUCUGUCAUCCUUAUCUACAAAGUUGGCUUGCUCACGUAUCUCUAACGGAGCUUUCCAUCGGCAUUCAGUGUUAUAGUGCCCAAAUUGAUUGCAGCUAUAACAUUUGAUAUUUCUCUUGUCACGGUUAUUGUAACCGCCUCCUCUUCCUCUGGGAGUGAAUGCUUGUUGUCCUCGGCCUCCUCUGGUGGUGUUUCUGCCACCUCUUCCUCUAAAGCUUGUAUUCCAAGAACCUCUUCCUUGGAAUUGCUGGAAUCCUCCUCUGGAUUGUUGACUUCCUCCUUGAGUGGUGUAGCCACUUGAUGAAGUCUCCCCUUGCUCAUAUCUGUCUUUGAGAGACAGCUUUGCUUGUAAGGCAUGCUCGAUGGCCUUAUCUUCAUUUCGCUUUACUAUCUUCUGCUCAUGAGCUUGCAAAGAACUCAUAAGCUCAUCCACUGUCAACUUGUCCACUUCCUUGGACUCUUCAAUUGCGACAACAACAAAAUCAAAUUUUGGAUCUAGGGAUCUCAAAAUUUUUUCAGUAAUUCGAGAGUCGAUGAGGGCUUCUCCAUUUCUUCUCAUAUGAUUGACUAUCACCAUAAUCCUUGUGUGAUAAUCAGAAAUAGACUCCGAGGACUUCAUUUGUAAUAACUCAAAUUCUCCUCGUAAAGAUUGAAGACGAAUCUUCUUGAUUCUGUCAGCACCUUUGUAUUUCUGUUGGAGAGCCUCUCAUAUGUCAUGUGAUGUUUCAGCGGAAGCUAUUAUCUCGAAUGUAUCUUCAUCAAGACCUUGAUAGAUGAUGGUCUUUGCCUUGUUGUCUUUAUUUCUGUUGACUUUAAGGACUUGCUUCUAUGCCUCUUGUAAAGCAUCUUUUCUUUCUUUGGACUCUAGUUCAUCAUAACCAGUUUGUACAAUAUCCAAACACUCUUGUGACCCAAGGAAUGCCUUCAAUCUGAUGCACCAACUAUCAUAGUUGUCUUUCGUCAGCUUCGGGAUGAGUGUAUGUGUACCUUCUGUAGUCAUUUUUCUCUUUGAAUGACUAUGGAAACGCGGCUCGGCUCGACGAGGAGUACGGCGCGGCUUGUGGCUCAGCUAGACUCGGCUUGCGGCUUGGCUUGGACUCGGCGUGCACAUCAGUCGUCUUCAACCUCUGCCGCGCGUGGGCUGCGCGUGGUCGUCUGUGCAAAAUCUUCAGGCGGCGCGUGGGGCUCAUCGCGGUCUCUGAUCAGGCUGAUUCUUGCGACAGUGAGCUCGUCUUGAUGAGCUCUACACUGUGGAAUGAUCAAAACUUGUUUUUGACAACUUUGAAAAUUCGGAUAUACCCCAAAACACUUCUGUUUUCCGACGAACGGGGCUCUGAUACCAAUUGUUGGUGGGAGAAACCACUAGUGGUGGCUUUGAAACACCCAAAGCACUCAAAGGGGAUAAAACACACUGUUUUAUUACAAAAUCUGAAGCUUACAAUUACACAACAAAAGCUUAAACAAUUACACGCCCUCUCUCUCUCUUUCUCUUUCUAGUGUUCCUCUCAAUUCUCUCCACACAUAUAACAUAAGCUGGGCACUCUAUUUAUACACAAAUCAAAAUACAAAAAUUCAACCUUCCAUGAAUAUUAAAUUGAGAUUAAAUUAUCUAUUUUUUAUUUUAAUAAUAGUUUUUUACAUGUUUUUCUCAUCACAUAAAUAAAUAAUUGAGUCAUGAUAAUUUUUUAUGUUUAUAAUCAAAAGUUGCUUUUCAAAUCAUUAUAAACUUUUAUUAAAAAACAAUGCUUUUUAUAUAUAAUAAAAAACAUGUUUUCAUCAAAAUAAGACAAAAAAAUACAUUUUUCCUCCUAACUUCAAGUGAUUUAAAUUUUAAUGAAUAUUUAUUUUAGUUUUUUUCUCAAAAAAACAUGCUACUAAAAAAGACAUAAUUUUGCUAAAAUAAAAUAAAAAUGUAUGAAUAAGGUAGGAAAAAAUUGAUGCCCGAAUUGAUAUCAAUCACAUCUCUUGGAAAUAAAAAAUCAUGAAUCAUAAUUAAAUGAGCGCAAUUGAUAGCUUCAAAAGAUCAAGACAUAAUCACUUCGUUAGUGCUUUUGCUUAUAAUUUAUUAUAUUAUUAUGAUUCUGGUAAAAUCAUUAACUUACAAUGACAUAAAUCCAUCGAUUAAAAAAAAUUACAAACACACGACGAAAAAAAAAUAAAAAGCAGUUGCACUCGCCUGGAAGAUGAUCCCCUCUUCUUGACUGCUGCCAUUAUUGACCUAGUCCACAAAGCAAGUUAAUUAACUAAACUGGUGAUGGAUCAUGGAAAAAAAUAUUUGCGCUAGUAGUUAAAAGCAUUAUCAAGACUUACCUUCUCACACCGCCAUGAGUAGCUUGCUAGUAUCGUCUUCCACCAUUUCUAGGAGCAUUCUUCCUUCUAAGCCUUUUUGCAUUUUGAUGUGCACUGUCUUCAACCAUCUUCACAAACCAUGCAGGUUUUCUUGCUCUAAAUACAACAUAUCCUAUAGAGACUCCAAAUACAAAUCCACAUCCAUAACCCAUUGCUACAGCUUUCCAUCCAAAUCCCUCUUCAAACAUUGAGUCUUCUUUCUGGAAGUUCAAUGGUGGCUGUUGUUGCCCCUCGCGUUUGUUGCAUGUUACCUGCAAGGGAAAUCCACAUAAUCCCAAGUUCCCCUCGUAUGAACAAUUUUCAAAUGUGUGGAACUGCUUACCUUGAGGUAUGGGUCCCUCAAGUUGGUUAUACGAAAGGUUGAGGACUUCAAGAAAUUUUAAAUCUACCAGUUGCUGAGGAAUCCUUCCAGCAAGCAGAUUUGAGGAGAGAUCUAACGAUUCCAGAUUAGUUAAAUUCCCCAGUGAUGGCUGGAUAUAACCGAUGAGGCUGUUGUGAGAAAGGUUGAGCUGUAUCAGAGAUUUAAGCUUCCCAAGGGACUCUGGAAUCUUUCCCGUGAAUUUAUUGCAGGAUAAAUCAAGUGUUGCGAGGGCAAUUUGAAUUUUAGAAAACUCCAUCUCCGAACCUUUCCAUGCCAAAGUUACAGAAUAAACAUAAUAAGUAGAUAUAUGUUUUGGCCUCAUGUAAUCCAUAUCCUGUGCAACGCUCAUCAUGGCUUUGAAGUUGUUGAAAUACUCUGUUGGCAAAGGACCACUCAAGCUGUUGUUGGAGAGGUCAAAUAUCUGUAAUUUAGAAAAAGAGUCCUUGACAGUUGGACCCUUCAAAGAACCAUGGAGUUUAUUUGACCUUAGAACAACAACCUCCAACUUGGGAAGCUUUUCUAAAAAGGAAGGGAAUGUGUCAUCAAUCAUGUUGUUACCGAGAUCCAGAAAUUCUAAAUUCACACAAUUGAUGAUGGAUGGUGGUAUCACCCCUUUCAAUUUGUUGCCAUUGAAGUUGAGAUAACUCAAACUGUUCCCCUUUGAAUAGAUUGAAGGGAUAUUGCCGUGGAGAUUGUUGGCACCAAGAUGCAACACUGAGAGUCCAUCACUGAAGUUUCCCAAGCAUUGCGGGAUGAAUCCACUAAAGCUAUUGUUGGACAAGUCUAGAAUCUCUAGGAACUUCAGCUCGCAAAUGACAGAGGAGAUGUUCCCAGUCAGUUUAUCAUUGGAGGAAAGCAUAAGAGCUGUCAAAUGCUCAAGCUUGAAAACUGAAGGUGGAAUCUGGCCAUACAACCUGUUGUGACUGAAAUCGAUAUAUUGUAAUGAAUUACAAUGGAACGGAAUCUGGCCAUACAGUAGGUUAUUGUGAAGGAAAAGAACCCUCAAAGAAGGCAUAGAAAACAAGGAGGAUGGAAUUGUUCCAUUGAGUAAGUUAUGAGACAAGUCGAGAUAGUUUAAACCUGAAAGCCUUCUUAUUUGUGAUGGGAUGCUUCCUAUCAGCUGAUUAUUAGAUAAGCUGAGAUAGUUUAAACCUGAAAGCCUACUUAUUUGUGAUGAGAUGCGUCCUAUCAGUAUAUUGUUUGAGAGGUCCAAGAAAGUGAGUUGGGUGAGGUUAAAAAAACCAUCUGGAAUUUGACCAUUAAACCUGUUGUUUGAGAGGUCCAAUGUAUUGAGAUGUAUGAGGUUAAAAAAAUCAUCCGGAAUUUUACCAGAAAAAUUAUUAAAAGAAAGCCUCAAGAUAUAUAGCUUCUUAAGGUUUCUAAAUGAGAAUGGAAUUUGACCACCAAACCUGUUGUUUGAGAGUUCCAACGAAGUGAGCUGUGUGAGGUUAGAAAAACUAUCUGGAAUUUGACCAUCAAACCUGUUGUUUGAGAGGUCCAACGAAGUGAGCUGUGUGAGGUUAGAAAAACUAUCUGGAAUUUGACCAUCAAACCUGUUGUUUGAGAGGUCCAACGAAGUGAGCUGUGUGAGCUUAGAAAAACUAUCUGGAAUUUGACCAUCAAACCUGUUGUUUGUGAGGUCCAACGAAGUGAGCUGUGUGAGGUUAAAAAAAGCAUCCAGAAUUUUACCAGAAAAAUUAUUGGAAGAAAGUAUCAAGAAAUCUAGCUUUUUAAGGUUUCUAAAUGAGAAUGGAAUUUGACCAUCAAACAUAUUGUUUGAGAGGUCCAAUUGAGUAAGUAGUGUGAGGUUAAAAAAACUAUCCGGAAUUUUACCAGAAAAAUUAUUAAAAGAAAGUGUCAAGGAAUUUAGCAUCUUAAGGUUUCUAAGUGAGGAUGAAAUCUGGCCAUCAAACUUGUUGUGUGAGAGAUCCAACUCAGUAAGUUGUGUGAGAUUAAAAAAACUAUCCGGAAUUUUACCAGAAAAAUUAUUGAAAGAAAGUAUCAAGAAAUCUAGUUUCUUAAGGUUUCCAAGUGAUAAUGGAAUCUGACCAUCAAAAUUGUUACCUAAAAGUUCCAAAAAAGCAAGUAGAGUGAGGUUGGAAAACUCAUUCAGAAUUUUUCCAGUAAAAUUAUUGUCUGUGAGAAACAAGUGACUGAGCUGCUUAAGGUUUCUAAGUGAGACUGGGAGAUGACCUUGAAAAUUGUUAUUUGAGAGGUCCAACCACGCCAAUUGCGUUUGAUUAACAAAAACAUCAGGAAUUGGACCAAUAAAAUUAUUGUAUCCAAGAUCCAGGUACUCGAGAUGCUUAAGUUUUCCAAACGAGAAAGGAAUUUGACCACCAAACUGGUUACCUGCAAGUCUCAACUCAAUGAGUUGCGUGAGGUUACCAAGUAGACCAAGAUUCGAGCCAACAAAAUUGCACCAGUUAAGAUACAUCACUUCCACAGACUUCAGUUGACUGAUUGAAUGUGGUUCCAAAUGUAUUGAAAUCCGCGUCUGUGACAGAUCCAAAUGCGAAAUAGCAUUGCUCAAAUUGUAUGGCGGAAAAGAGCCAGUGAGUUCUCCGUUGCUCGAUAAAUCGAGCGAUUGAAGGUUUGAUCGGCGAAAGAAAUUAUCAGGGAGUUCCCCUUUCAAUCCACAAUACCAGAGUCGGAGAGAUGACAAAGAAGAAGACAAGUUCAUCAAGGAACUGGGUACCACCAAAGACAUGUCCACUCCACCCAAGUAGAGUUCUCUCAGCUGGGUAAGGUUCUGAGCAAGCUUGUUGAAAGAAAUCGGUUCCAGCAUCAGCCCCUCAGUGUUGUAAGAGAGAUCAAGUGACACCAAUCUGGAUAAAUGGGAGAUUUCUGGAGGAACUUGGCCUGCAAAAUUCGAUGAAUUUAGAUUUAAAUGCGUCAAAUGCAGGAACUGACCAAAGGAAGAUGAAAUGAUAGAGCGAUUGAAGUCAUUGCGAGAGAGAUCGAGCUUCUGAAGAUGAUGAAGGGAGAAGAGAGUGCUGUUAGAAUGGAGGGUGCCAUAAAGCAUGCUGCAACCAAGGUCUAGGCCAAUUACAUGGCCAGUUUGCAUGUUGCAUGUCACGCCAUCCCAAGAGCAGCAAUCUGUACCCUCUUUCCACAGCACUCUCUUGGGUAGAUAACAUGAAAAUCCAUAUGGAGAAGAAGGCAUCAUGGAAAAGGAGUUUUUGAAUUGGAGCAAAGCCAGGCUCUGGUCACCGGGGCAUAAUUGUACUGAAGAGGAGAAAUUGGAAGAAGAAUGAGCAGGUUGGGAGUGCGAAUGGAAGAAAAGAAGGCAGAGAAAUUGAGCGAGCAACAAUGAAGAUCCCAUCAUUCCCUAAAAGUGCUCUUCUUAGAGAUGAAAAUGUGG
Molecule: long non-coding RNA, 55065 nt
Filed under: Populus tremula
Lineage: Eukaryota; Viridiplantae; Streptophyta; Magnoliopsida; Malpighiales; Salicaceae
Description: long non-coding RNA (PTRE_LNC003326)
Source: RNAcentral